UAAACAGAAUAAACUUUGUAGAUUUUAAUGAAAUAGUUAUGAAUUUUUUUUAUUUCAUGUCUUUUAUUUUUUGUAUUACAAAAACAUACAUAAAUAUUUGAUAAAAAAACUAAGGCCAUAAUCGAUAAAAAAAAAAAAGUAACUAACACAGUCUUGAAUUUUAAAAAUACAGUUAAAUUAAAAAAAAUUAAAAUCUAACACUUCAAAAGAAAUAUAGAGACUCCCAUUAUUCUUUUAGAUAAGAUCAGUAAUGUAAUGAGUGAAAAUAUAAAAUCAUUUUAAUAAUAAUAAAAAAAAAAAAAAAAACUAGUAUAAUAAAUAAAUAUUUUUAUUAUUGGCACCUGUAUCUCUACAUUCCAAGCCAAUGGCAUUCAAAAAGGAAAAAGAAACCUUUAAACUUGAAAGUAAUUAGAAACAAAAUGAAGCAUAAACAUAGUCAUGGAUCCUCACACUCCAUUUGAUCAUACACCACACCUAACUGCUCAGGCAGACUUUCCCUGCGGUGGCGGCAGCUUUUUGGAAGUGUUGGCCGGAGAAGGGGUUGUGACGGAAUUCUUCUCUUCCUUUUUGUGGUUGGUGGGAGUGGUUUUGUUUUCUCCACCUUGAUCAGCACCAACUUCUUUCAGGUCAAAGAAGUUGCUGAGGUCGUCGGUGCCAGUGAAAAUCUCCGGUGGCAAGACCUGGGAAGCUUGCCGGCGGUGACGAGACAUAGUGGUGGAGAGAGAAAGAGAGAGAGAGAGAGAAAAGCACAAAAAAGUGAAGGUGGUAAGUGAAAAUGGAGAAUGAAGGAAAGACAGAGUUUUGAAGUGAUUUAUGGAAGUGGGUUUUCUACGGAACCGCUGUUUUACAUGCCCACGCGCUUCCUGUCACAUGGCCAUUGAAUCUGGAAACCUUUUUUUUUCUUGGAUUAUAGUUUAGAAAAAUAUUUUUAAUUACAUGUUACAAUUAAUUUAUAUAUUCUUAAAAUAUGCAAUAACACAUUGAUUUUAAUUUAUAAAUAAAAUAUAAUUUUUUUCUUAUUUAUUCAUUUAAAAGUAUUGAUAUACUAAAACAUUCAUCAGAAUCUCGUCUCAUCAAAUGCAGUACUAACUUUUUUAAUGUCAUUUAAUAAUAAAUUGAAUUAAACUCAUAUGUGAUGGUAAAAUUAUUAAUAUAUUGAAUUAAACUUAUAUGUGAUGGUAAAAUUAUUAAUAUAAACUGUCGUUGUUUUAAUAUUUAAUUAAUUCAAAUUAUGAAGAGUAUAACAAAAUCUUUCACGAGCAUUUAAUUCUAUUUUCAUUUUUUAAGUUAUAAAAUGAUCAUGUGUUUUUAAUUUGUUUUUGUUUUUGCAUAUUUGUUCUCAAAAUAAUUACGAAAAACAUUUAUCCUUUUUCUGUACAAAUAUUUUAAAAUGUAACCUGAAAACAGUGUAUAGGUUUUAAUUAAAAUAGAAAAUCAGUUAAGAAAGACAGAAAACAAAACUAAAUGAAUAUCUCUUUAUAAUAUUAACUUUUAUACAGUCAGUAUAUAUGUUAUUUUUCAAAUAAGAAAACUAAAAAGGUUUAAUAUUUUGAAAAUAUUAAAUCAUUUAAUAUUUAUCACACAAAACUGAUGCAAUAAUUAUAAAAAUAAAAAAUUAAAGUUAUUUUAUUAAUAUUAACCGGAAAGAGAAACACAUUUGAGUGAGUUUGUCCAUUUUGUGGUCUAGUCUUCGUUGAACCACCAAACUUUACCAAAAAGUUUGUGCUAUCAGUUUUUUUAAGUUUCAGAUGUGACCAGACAAAAUCAACCGUCUUGUUCUCAAUAUUAAAAGAGAAAAAGAAAAUUGACAAAAAAAAAAAAAACCAUUUAUUUAACAUUAAUCAUGGAGAUCAAAUAAUUAUAAAAAAAAAUGACUUUGAUAUUUAUAAGAAAAAAAGAAAAAGUGAAAAAAAAAUACUAAAAGAUGAUAUUAGAUGAUAGUAAAAGUUUAUUGUUUGUCAAAUUAUAUUACUAUAUUAUUAAAACAGCAAUGUUAAUAUCGAAUGAGAACAUAGUCCAAAGUUGUACCUAGCAAGCACUCAAUUAAAUACUUAUCAUAACCCUGUUGCGCUUUGAGAUUGUACUUUGUAGUUGUUAUGUUUUGUCCAGGUCCAUUGUUCCAUUUAUUUUAUCUUUUAUUUAAUUACUUAUAUCAAUUAUCAAUUUUAGAAUAAUGGAAAGAGAUUUUUAUUUUUUUUUCUUAAUUAAAUGUAAGAAAAGAGAGUUUUCGUUUACAAUAGAAAACUAAAACUCAAAAGAUGUUUACAGAAGACUCGGUUAUAUUUAUAUAAUUCAAAGACAAGUAAAUGUUAUAUAUAUAUAUAAUAUGGAGUUAUCUAAAUAUAUACAUUAUUUGAAUUUGAAUUUCUUUGUACUACCGUUAAUUGCUGGAACUUGAAAAAGUUGAUGCCAGUAUUGAAUGUUUGGUUUGACUUUGGAAAUUAAUUUGGUAUUAAAUUGAAAAUUUAUUGGUACUAUGUAGUCAAAAUUUCCAUUUGUCUUGAUUAUUUAAAUGCAAUUUUGACCAAGACACUAACUAUUUUAUGAAUAUUUUUAUAUUCUUUUAAUAUGUUAUUAAAUUAAUGGAAGAAGUUAAGAUUAAAUUUAUGUUUGGUUGCUAAUGUGAACUUUAAUUUUGAUGAAUCUUUAAUUGUAUAAUUCAUCAUCAAUCUUUUAAAACUUAAAGUUAAUUAUUAAUAAAAAAAAGUUUUGUAUUAACUAUCAUAUCUUCUUACAAAAAUUUUUAGAUUUUUUAUAAUCUUUCAAGUAUUAUGUUAUUCCUUUCUUUAUCUCUUUGAAAGCAUUCUUUUUCAUAAACACUAAAUUUCCAAACACUCUUAGAAAAAUCUUUUGACCAUCCCUUUCAUUGUCUACCAAACAAACAAAUAACAUUUCUAAUCUUCAUCAUAAGAAAAACCACCUAUUUACCCCAUCAAAAACAAAUUAAGAAAACUUUAUCUUGAGCACUAGGUAAAUCUUAACGUUUCUUUCGGACAAUGAAACAUGAUGAAUAAGAAAUGGUGACUGAAGAAACUGUUGAAUGCUGGUCUUGCCUAACCUCAUAUGAAAAAUUAUAUAAAGGAAGCAAAUGACUAUUGUUCAAAGAAAGUCCUUUAGUACCAAUAACAUUGUCGCCAAAUGAAACUUUUCCUUUUUUGUAACAAACUUGAAUAGGGCUGGAAGUUGUCUCUGUUCAGAAGCAUUGGGAAGCUCUUACGCUCUUCUUAUUUGAAGAACCCGAUGAAGGAAACCCAACCCAACCCCCACCACCACCCCAACCACAUCAAACUCUUUCCCCCACCUUUCUUUCUAAGCCUUCACUUUCCUUUACCUAAUCACCAACCUUUCUUUUGAAGCCUUCCUUUUCCCCUAUCCACCGCUCUCUACCACCUUUCCUUCUAGGGCUUUUCUUUCUCCAAUCCCUUUUUCCCUGCCAUAUAUCUUUAUUCAUUUGUGCCAUGAUGCCUUUUCUCUACACCCUUUUCGAUGUUAAUCAAAUAAGGGGAGAAAUAUGUUAAACAUAGAUAAGAUACUACAUUCAAAGGAAGAAAUGUAAUGAUAGAUUAUUGCAUUUAGGACUCUUGUUUAAAAUGCAUAUAUGUUGAAAUGUAAAAAUAUCCAUGUUUAAGUGUCAAUCAUUUACUUUGAUAUACAUAUGAUUUAGAUAUGAUACUUGUGCUUUAAUACAUGUAUGAACACUUUUUGCUCUAAUACACGUGUGAAAACUUAAACUUAUAUUUGUUUUUUGCUCUGAUACACAUAAAUUUUUAUCCAUGCUCUAAUACACUUAAAUGUUUAUCCAUGAUUUGAUACAUAUAAUUUUUUGGUUCAUGCUCUGAUACACAUGAGAUGCAUAAACGAUUCACGUUUUGCUCUGUUACACACACAAGUUUUGCACAAAUGAUUUAUGACUUAUGAAAGUCGUAAAUUAUUGAUCUUGAAUAAUAUGAUAAUCGUUUAAUACCUUGACACUUAAAAUAAGCUUAGCUCUAAUAAUGAUAAACGAUAUUGUUAAGACAAAAUCGUCAAUAAGAUUGAAUUGUCUAAACGCCCUCAUUUGUUUUGAAGUUUAACAAACAACAAUAAACGAAAUGAGCAUAUAACAAUGUUAUCAUUAGAAAAGCAAUUCAAUUGGAAUAUAAAUUGUACCGUAUGGACAGGAUGGGCGUCAACGGCGCCCGUCCACAGGUAUGACGAAUCGUAAGGACGGUCAACAUGACCGAACGGUAGUUAAGACCAACCUCGGUCAAAAAUAGUCAACAUGACCGGACGACCAUUAGUAAAAAGGGGUCCGCUAACUUAGGGAAAUGCGAUUAACAGUAAAAAAGGAUUAGGAUAGCAAAGCAGGAUUUAAAGCGUCUGGGCCAGUAUUGGGCCAGGAUUAAGGUAAAAUUAGCUAUUGGCCCAUCACGGAAACUAUAAAUAGAGGUCAGAGGUAAGAGUUGGUGGGUGAUAUUUAAUGCACAUUUACUGUUGAGUACUGUUUUCUCUCUCUAUCUCUACUGUGAAACAGAAGCCUAACUUGAGGGUCGGAGCCCUUUUAGCAGGUACUCGAUCGGUCGUGGAACGAAGCACAACACCGAAGGACGGAAGUGACCGGGCGGAAAGGAGAAAUUGUGAAGGGAGAAGCACCGUCAUUAUCUACCCGAAACAUUUUGGCGCCUACCGUGGGGCCGGCGGAUUACAACCAAUGGUGACCACAAGAAAUACGAGCAUGGAGGAAUAGACGGAGAUGCUGCGGGCGAUGGAACAGAGGAUGACGGAUAUGCAACGAAAGCAUGAAGAGGAGAUGGCAGCUGUGAGGGCGGAAUGCCUAGCCCAAAUUGCCAAGUGUAAGAGCGGAGGGGCUAGGGGAGAGAUAGGAGAUGGCACAAGGGGAAAGCAAGACAAAAAGGUCUUACUGGAAGACGAAAAGGAGGAACAAAGCAGUGCCCGGGCGGGCAGGCGAGAAAAGGAAGAUAAGGAUGAUAAGGGGGAAAGUCAUAUGUUGGUAAAAGUGGAGGGGCCGUCUGUCCCGGUGCCCUUCAUCAGGGCGAUAAUGGAGGUCCACAUAUCUGAACAAUUCAUACCCCCUCAAUUCAAAAUGUAUGACGGGACUACAGACCCGGCAGCGCACAUCAAAUCGUUCACCAACGCCAUGACGUUCCGAACUGGUUGUGAUGCCAUCUGGUGUCGGGCUUUCUCGUUGUCUUUAGAAGGGGGGCCUUGGAUUGGUUCAAAUCACUCCCAGGCAACUCGGUGAAAGACUUUAAGAGCCUGGGCGAAAUGUUCAAGAAGCAAUUCGCCGCUUGUAACAUGGAAGACGUAACAGUGGUAGACUUGAUGAAUCUGAAACAGGGAAAGGAAGAACCUUUGAAGGCCUUCAUGGAUAGAUAUCAAAAGACCGUCUGUCGGGUUAAGGGCCUCAGCUUGGAGUUAGCCCUCCAAUACGUCAUGCUGACCUUAAGGUCCGGGCCGUUUAAGGACAGUAUUUGCCGAAACCCUCCCUAAACAAUGGAGGAGCUUCGCCAGCGUGCGGCCGACGAGAUCAGAGUCGAAAACAUGAAGCAGAAUUACCGAAGAGAAAUCCAGGAAGCAAAGGUGGACAAAUCCGAGGGAAAGAGAGGUGAGGUGCCCGGAAAUAGGCAGCACAGGUUGAAGGGAAGAGAGGGGCCGCGGGGCCCAAGAUUCCAACAAUACACCGCCCUCAACGCUCCCAGGGCCCGGAUACUCCAAGAAGCAUUAAGCAAAUAGAUUAUACCAAUGCCGAUGAAGCGACCAACCCCUCGGGGGCAGAUCUCAACAAACAUUGUCUGUACCACCAAAAUUCCGGACAUGAUAUGGAAGACUGCAUGACCCUCAAGGACAAGAUCGAAGAGCUGAUACGUGCGGGACGAUUGCAACAUUACAUAAAGGUGGACAGAGUCGAACGAUAUGAUAGCCGACCGAGCCCGGUGCCAAAAAGCCCCAGGAGGGAAAGAGGAAAUGUCAGUUACAAAACCCGUCAGCCGUCAAGAGAAGAUAAUAGGCGGACGGGCAGAAGGAGUAGAAGCCGCAGCCGCGAAGGAGAACGAAGGCGACCCCUGAGAGGAAUGAUAAACACCAUAUCUGGAGGAUUCGCGGGGGAGGAUCUACUUCCUCCGCACGAAAGAGAAGCAUUUGGGCAUUGCGGUCCAUAUAUGUCGUAGACGUCCCCAAAAGAACUAUGCCCCCUAUCACCUUUACGGAUGAAGACUUCCACGCCCCCGACCCCUAACAGGAUGACCCGAUGGUAAUCAUUAUUGAGAUCGUGCAAUACAAAGUAAGCAAGGUGUUAGUAGACCAAGGGAGUUCCGUCAACAUUCUAUACUAGAGGACAUUCCAGCAGAUGGACAUAUCGGAGGAUCUCAUAAUUCUGUAUGAUGAGCAGAUAGUAGGCUUUGCCGGGGAAAGGGUCGACACUAGGGGAUAUAUUGAUUUACGUACCCGUCUGGGGGUCGGGAGAGACAACGAAGAGAUGAAAGUAAGAUAUCUCCUGGUGGAGGCCAACACCUCCUAUAACGUCCUGUUAGGCCGACCGUGCCUGAACGCAUUCAGGGCUAUCGUGUCCACCCCCCAUUUAACUAUGAAGUACCUCACACGCUGGGGAGCGAUUUGCACCGUAAGGGCGAAUCAGAGGAUGGCACGGGAAUGCUACGCAGCCGGAUUACGAAUGUAUCCCAGGGAAACCAGGAGGAAAAUGGACCGGUCGGAGGUCGCUAUGGUCGACCUCGAUCCUAGAACCAACACAGAGGACCACUUGGAGCCGAUGGGAGAAACCCAACCCGUUAUAGUAGGACGGGACGCCAGUCAAACCACCAUUAUAUCUAGAGGAUUACCGGUAGAAACUGAAAAACGAUUACGGGCCACCCUCUGGCGCAAUAGGGACCUCUUCGCUUGGACUACGGCGGAUAUGUCGGGCAUACAUCCCUCGGUCAUGUCCCACAAGCUCUCAUUAUACAAAGAAGCACGGCCGGUAUCCCAAAAGAAAAGACGAAUGAGGGACGAGAAAAGGAAAGCGAUGGAAGAUGAAGUGCGCAAACUGCGGGAAGUUGGCUUUAUCAGAGAAAUCACUUACACCACUUGGCUGGCUAAUGUAGUUAUGGUAAAGAAGGCAAGUGGCAAAUGACGAAUGUGCAUCGAUUACACCGACCUUAACAAGGCCUGUCCGAAAGAUUCUUACCCACUCCCGAGCAUCGACACACUCGUAGAUGGGGCCUCCGGUUACAAGAUGUUAAGCUUCCUGGAUACAUACUCAGGUUAUAACCAGAUCCCGAUAUACGCCCCAGACCGGGAGAAGACCGCUUUUAUGACAGACAAGGCUAAUUUCUACUAUGAAGUAAUGUCGUUCGGUUUGAAAAACGUCGGCGCUACUUAUCAACGACUGAUGGAUAGGGUCUUCGCCGAACAAAUCGGUAGGUGCAUGGACGUGUAUGUGGACGAUAUGGUGGUUCGAUCACCUACCGAGGACGAUCACUUAAGAGAUUUGGAGGAGGUCUUUAACCAGAUCCAGAGGUAUGGAAUGAGGCUGAACCCGGCCAAGUGUACAUUUGGAGUAGCGGGGGGAAAAUACUUGGGAUUCAUGCUUACUUCGCGCGACAUUGAAGCAAACCCCGAUAAAUGUGAAGUUGUGUUGCAUAUGUCUAACCCGAGCACCUUGAAAGAUGUUCAAAGGCUGGUCGGAUGCCUCACGACACUGUCUCGAUUUAUAUGUCGGACCGACUCCCAAUUGGUGGUGGGACAAAUGAAUGGCGAAUUUCAAGUGAAAGAGGAUCAUCUCCUCCGGUACUUCCAUAAAGCCUCCGCCUUAGUAACAGAUUUUGAAAAAAUCGAAAUCCGACACAUACCCCCGGGAGCAAAAUGCUUGCGCAAAUAUGUUAUCAAAGCUUAGCUCAGGCAAGGAGAAGGGGCAACUCACCACGAUCAUUCGGCAGGUCCUCCUCCAACCGUUCGUUGAGUGCAAUGCGAUAACCACCGACCCUAAUGAUUGGCGUGGAGAGAUAAGAGACUUGAUGAAAAAGCGAGACAACGGCCUACCCCUACGGUCGGGCGAAGCCAAGAAGAUAGUCAGGUUCUUAAUAAUUGAAGAUGACAUGUACCACAGAGGGUAAUCCACCCCCCUCCUUAAAUGCUUAACGAGAGAGGAAGCACGAUACGUCAUGGACGAAUUACAUAAUGGAGUUUGCGGUUUUCACUCAGGAAGAAGAACCUUAAAAGCUCGCAUCCUCCGAGUGGGAUACUACUGGCCCACCAUGGAGGAGGACGUCCGUAUCUUCACCCGGCACUGCCUCUACUGCCAGGCGCAUGCUAAUGACACUCAUGUGUCGCCUCAUACAUUGCACUCUAUAUUUUCACCCUGGCCGUUCGCCCAGUGGGGGAUGGAUAUUGUUGGACCAUUCCCCCAAGGCCAGGCGUAGAAGAAAUUUUUGUUGGUCGCUGUUGAUUACUUUAACAAGUGGGUAGAAACCGAACCCCUUGCGUCGAUAACGACCCUUCAAGUACAAAAAUUUUGUUGAAAAUUAAUCUGCAGGUUCGGACACCCGAAGACGAUAAUAACAGAUAAUGGUAGGCAGUUCAUAGAUAAGAAACUAAAGUAGUUCUACGCAAAUAUGGGGAUUAAACACGUCACUAGUUCAGUAGAACACCCUCAAACGAACGGGCAAGUAGAGGCUGUCAACAAAACUAUUGUGGCCGAACUAAAAAGAAGGUUAGGGGAAAAGAAAACUUCUUGGGUUGAAGAAUUGCCAGAAGUACUAUGGGGCUACAGGUGCACGCCGCACGGGACCACAAGAGAAACCCCUUUCAACCUAACCUAUGGUAUCGACGCAAUGCUUCCAGUCGAAUUGGGAGAACCAUCACUAUGAAGGAAAAUAGAAGAUAUACAUCUCAACGACCAAGAGCUCAGGGUCGAAAUGGAUACGCUAGACGAACGCCGAGAUCGCGCGACACUCAGGGCCGAGGCAUGCAGGAGAAUGGUUGAGCGCAGAUACAACACACGGGUCCGUCCUCGCGACUUCCAGGAGGGAGAUUUGGUGUGGUGUAAAAUCGGAGAUGCCAAACGAACGCUUUCCCACGGGAAAUUAGCUGCUAAAUGGGAAGGCCCCUUCAAGGUGGUAACAACACUAAAAAAUGGGGCGUACCGGCUAGCUCAUCCGGACGGUCGCCUACUCCCCAACACGUGGAACGCAAUGCAUUUGAAAUUUUAUUUUAGUUAAGUUUACAUAGCUGCUGACAAUGAAUUUGUAAUCAUGAUCACUUUACUUUCAAUGAUAUGACGCGUAGUCCACGUAGCUCAAAUUAGCAUACUAACCAAUGACUCUAAGGGAAAGUAACGUAUGAGUAUCGCCCGAUCCACCUCCGUUAUUAGCCAGGACCCGUCCCCUUAACUAACGAGUUUCCGGGACCCGUCCCGUUAAUUCACGAUUAAGUUACUGGGACCCGUCCCAUUAACUCACAACCAAGCUACCGGGAUCCGUCCCAUUAACCUACGGUAGUUACAGGGAUCCGUCCCAUUAACCUUGGAGGGAGACGGUGGAUGAUUGAUCUGCCUCCCCUCCACAACAAUCAGGCUACCGGGAUCCGUCCCAUUAGCCUAUGAGUUAUAGGGAUCCGUCCCAUUACCGGAAAAGGAAGGGGGACGAUCAUGACCUGCCAUCCGUCUCGUUAACUAACAAUCAGUUUUUUUUUUCAAAAAAAAAAAACGAGAGAAAGAAAGGAGAAUAUACAAAAAUAUUCACGCAACUGUUCAAAACAUAAGGGCGAAAACCAUAACGGACAGGUCGAUGGCGCAAAAGACUACGCCUAAGUAUUUCCCAUCGACCUCGUCUUUACAAAAAAUCACAACUAAAUCAAACAAAAAGAGGUAACUCUUAUCGCCCUUCAUGACCACUGGACCUUCCUUCAAGCUUCAGGCACCGCCAGAUGGACCCGCAUAGGCCUUCACCUUUUCACCACCAAUACCACCUUCUCCCACAGGAUCACACGACAAGUUAGCCUCCACCGACCUCAUCUCCCCACCAUAUACGUCUUGAUAAAGAUCAAACCCGACAACAACAAGGUCCACCUUUAACAAAAACGCCGCUUGCCGCAUAGCCUUGUUGAAACCUUCUUCAUGUUCAAGAAUCACGGUUACGUCCAGGUUCGUAAGAGUUUCGUUGACCUUAGUUAACUCAAUACCAAGACGCUCCUUUUCGGCAUAAACGUUCACUCUGUUCCGCCAGUUCCUCACCCCUUUUACCAAGACGGCGAACUUCCAACUUCAACUUUUUCACUUCCUCAACCAGAUCAUCUUCCCGUUGCUUGGCGUCCGUCAACUAUUUGGUUGCAUUAGAUAAUUGAAGGCGAGAUUCGUCCAGAUCCGCUUGCAGCUUUGUCUGAUUUUCGUCACAAAAAUCGUGGUCUCUAGUGAGUGUUUCCACACGGUGGCAGAGUGUGGGCGACACGUCCUGCUCCUGGGCUAGCUCACGUAGCAAGUCCCGACCUUCUCGUCCAGAACCCAGUUCGCGAGCAUUCCAAGCCAGCAUAACUCCCCGGGACAUCAACUCCACAGCAGCUCUAAGAAGCUCCCCCUCAGACAAGGACUCGAGCACUGCCUGUUGAGAGGAAUUCGGACGGAAAUCCACCCGCGAAGCGGCAUCAAAAGCAGGGUCAAAAACCCCGGUUGGAAGGGGAACGAGAGAAGAGCUCCCGCUACGAUAGCUCCGCUUAGAAGAGGGUUUCCCAUCCUCUUUGGACUUUUUCUUUUGCUCAAAGGGAGCCGCCGACUCCGGAGGAGGCUCGAAAGAUUGUACCACAAUAGCCUGAACGGGAUCCGGCUGAGCAAUUUCACCAACACGACCAGUAGCAACAACCUCGUCAGGAUGGACCACCACCGUUACCAGAUCUGCUUGAGGAAUACUGGUCGGGAACUCAACGUUCGGAGCAUGGCUGGAGGCGGCGGAAGGUCGUUCCUUACCUUUUGAGGUGUUGUUUCCCUUUCGCCGUUGGGUGGAAGCGAACCACCUGGUCUUGCGAGGUUCAGGCAGUGACAUGUAUCCUGAAAUUAAAACAAGAAUUUAGCUAAGUCAAACCGACGCACAAAAAACACAACCCGGCCGUCAGCAUACCAAACGCAAUAUGAUCGUAUUCUUCAUAUUUCAGACAAUCGACGAAGCCGCGGGCACUGAGGUGGCAGGGCAGAUCGUUUAUUGUGUGAACGACGUCGCGCUCCAAGGCGUUCAAACGACCAACACCGAAGGCUUUUAUUUUUGCAGGAUCCUCCGUCCAAUACAAAUGGAACCGAGGGACACCGACGACAUCAAAGAACUCCGACUUGCCGGACUCCUUGAUCAUUAUUUUGAAGUAUCGCGUCUUGAAAUUUUUGAAGGAAUCUACAAAGGGCUUGAAAAAAGUCCGAUCUUGAACGGAUGACAAAAACACCCACCCUCGACGAGGAACAAGCUGCAGGUUAAAAUAAUGGAGAAAUACCCGCACCAUAGGAGAUAUCCCCACUGCUGCACACAACGUUGUGAAGGCUUGGACGGCCGCCCAACCAUUCGGAUGCAAUUGACUCGACGCUAUGUUUAACUCCUUCAACAGGGAAGCUUGAAACUCCGUAAACGACACCCUUACAUACAUUUGCUCGAACAUAUAACUAUACACAAAAAAGAAAUCCUCUGAACUAGAGCCUUUCCUGUGGAAAACACGCUCGUUCGGAUGACUUGCUCCCAGGCGGAAUAAUCGGGCGUCCUCCACAUCACGAGCAAUGUGAGAGCGGUUUGACCACCAUAGUAGAUCUUCAUGCGUCCCAAAAUUUGAAGUAUACUCGUUCACUUCCGGAGAAGCCCAACGAUAACCGCGAAUGCAUGGCCACCCUUCGGCCGGCUCGGCCAUCUCCCGAUCGACGCGUAUACCCCCUUCAACAAAAAGAUGGCGUACCCAUUUAUUAAUUUGUCUCCUUCCGGAGAAGGUGGCAUAGAGGUAUCUUCACUCGGAUUGGCCUCUAAAAAGGUUGAAGAGACCAAACUGGGGGAUGCAGCAUUUCCUGCAUAGCCGGACGCAACCUGUUCCCCCGCUGCCGGAAUGCCCACGCCGCUUGUCACCCCAGCCCCACCUCCGUCGCCGUGACCCGACGACUCCUCUGACGAAUGAACACUGACUACAACCAUUAUUUACCUGAAGAGGAAGAAUCCUUGGUGGUAGGAAGAUGAGGUUAAAGAGAUGGUCAGUGGCAUUUCCUCACUCCCUAUUUAUAGAACAAUUUUAAAAACUGCCACACCAUGAUCAGCAUUAGAUGUCUGCUUAAUCAACGACCUUGAUUCGUAACGGUUCAGUUCUCCAAGGGAAAACACCAACCACAAUGAAACACAUGUCGUUUCCCGCCCAAGGCACUUUCGAGAAUCGCAACCGUCAUUCCCAUUUUUAAAUCCUUUCAGUCACUUAGUUCCUUCAGGCUUGGGGGGCCUGUGUACCGUAUGGACAGGAUGGGCGUCAGCGGCGCCCGCCCACAGGUAUGACGAAUCGUAAGGACGGUCAACAUGACCGAACGGUAGUUAAGACCAACCUCGGUCAAAAAUAGUCAACAUGACCGGACGACCAUUAGUAAAAAGGGGUUCGCUAAGUUAGGGAAAUGCGAUUAACAGUAAAAAAGGAUUAGGAGAGCAAAGCAGGAUUUAAAGCGUAUGGGCCAAUAUUGGGCCAGGAUUAAGGUAAAAUUAGCUACAGGCCCAUCACGAAAACUAUAAAUAGAGGUCAGAGGUAAGAGUUGGUGGGUGAUAUUUAAUGCACAUUUACUGUUGAGUACAGUUUUCUCUCUCUAUCUCUACUGUGAAACAGAAGCCUAACUUGAGCGUCGGAGCCCUUUUGGCAGGUACCCGACCGGUCAUGGAACGAAGCACAACACCGAAGGACGGAAGUGACCGGGCAGAAAGGAGGAAUUGUGAAGGGAGAAGCACCGUCAUUAUCUACCCGAAACAUAAAUGGUUUGUGAAAAUGCUCUGAAAAAUCUAAACAUCCUAAGAAAAGCCUUAGUAAAAACACCAACGUAUUGAAUAGGCGUAACACUAAACGGUUUCCCUAUUUAAUGCAUCAAUGAGAUUCUUGCUGAAUGCAACAAGCAUUAUGCAUCGCUAAGCGAUGAUAAAACGAACUCUCGAUAUAUCUUGAUAAAUGAAAGUGUUAAGAGAUGUUUUUGGAAGUACGCCAAAAAGUCUUAAACGAUAUUCCAAAAACUUGUGUUGAAAGACACCUUGCUAAACAUAUUAUUGAAUGAAAGAGAGAAAAACUUAAAGAAGCAUUUACAUAGGCUAGACAAUACCAUGUGCUAAAUGAUCAGCUUCAUCCAAUGAUGAAUCUUCAUCAAAUGCUUGGUAUCUUAGUGAAAAGGUUAAAUGAUUAAAUCCUGCUUGAACACUAGAAAAUGUAAAAAGUACUUUGUUGUUUUGAAAAUGCAUUAAAUGUCAUUAAAUGCUCAACAUUUAAAAAUAAAUAAAGUGAUAAGAUAAAGGACAUAUUUGUUUCUUGCAUAUCUACUCUACUUUGUGCAAAUUUCCUAUUACACGCAUCCACUUACUCCAUCCUAUACAAAUUAGAAGUAGAUGUUAAAAACAAAGAAGACAUUCAUGGGAUAUUCUCUUCAUCAAAAGUCGUGCCAAAAAAACUCUGUUGCCUACUGAUAACGGUUUAAAACACCAUUAUUUGUGAUGUGAUUUUGAUACUAAAAGCACCCUUUUUCACUUAGAAACUUGCUUGGACUCAUGCCUUUUGAAUAAAUUGUGUGAAUACGAGAGUUGAGGUUGAUUUCAAUGAUUUUAUUACUAAUUCCCCUUGUUCUCAGGCCCCAUGGUAGACACCAAAAUGUUUCAAAUAGCGCGGUCAAGAACUACUCCUUCACACUUUUCACCGAUCUUUCUAUGUUGCCUUCAAUUUCCGUUACCAUUAUUAUCAAUCUCCUUCCUUCAAUCCUCAAGUCUAGCAAUGAUGUACUUGUCAAAGGCACUCCGAUGCUUAUGUCAAUUAAUGAAUCUGUUCGAUUAUCACAAUGCAGUCUUAAUUUCACAAUAAAUGCAAUCACCUACCUCCAUACCUUACCUCUGUAUUUAUAGGUUUUGAAGUGGAUUUUUAAUUAAGGUUGACCCAAUUAUUGUCCAUGAGUUCAUAAGCAUAUUUUACUUUGUUAAUCAUGUUGGAUUUGUGUUUAUGGUUUUAAUGUACAGUACCAAUCGAUCAUUUAUAAAAAUUACACCUGACCAGUCUACACUAUUAUAAAGUUUUGAAAAAAUGUUUAUCCUCUUGUAAGAGUUGACUGCUCGAUAGAUAAAAGGAUGCAUUAAGGUUAAAUAAUACAAAUGUCAUUUUAUUUUAUUCUAUUACUUGUUCCAUUUAUUUAAGUAAAUGUUGUAAAUAGACAACAUACAUUCUUCUUCAUUAUAAGUUUUUUUUUUGUUUGGACCUGUUCACAAGUGUCCAUUGAUUCUAAUACUUCUCAAAAUUGUUUUCAAACAUGACUUAUAGAAGAUUUUUCUUCAUAGGAAACCAUGAUUAUUACCCAGACUCCAAUAUUAAUAUUAAUAACAAAGGGUUAAAAUAAUAUCUUAUUGCACCACAUAGCCAUUGUCAUCAUCUUCAACUGUAGCUUUGUUAUUUGUUUUCACUAAGAAGAAAAACUUGUGUUAAAGAACUCAUUUUAGAAAAUAAUAUAUAUUUUCUGAGAAAUUUAUUCUGAAAAUUUUAUUUCAUAAGUCUUGUUCUAAAACAAUUCUUGUAUAUUCUGAAAAGUUUAUUCUAAAAAGUUAUUUUAGAAUGUAUCAUAUAUAUAUAUAUAUAUAAUGCAUUUUAUGUGUUCUAGUAAGUAAAUUUCAAAAAACAUGUUCCAGAAUCCUGUUCAAGAAAAUUUUUCUGGAAAGUUCCGAAACUUUUAUUGUUGAAAACAUGUUCUAGAAAUUCCAAUAAACUUGUCUCGGAGGAUUGCCCAUAAUAUGGAAGUUACCUUUUCGAAGGGUAACGUAUCAUUUAAAAAUAAUGGAGUUGCAGUUAAAAUUUCUGGGAUUGUAGAAAGAGAAAGCCUAGGAAGACAGGUUGGGUUGAAUAUUAUUAGGCCCAAUCCGACCCAAAUUUGACAUUCAAUAGACAAUUCUGUUGCAGGUUGUAAUAAAAACAUAAAACAAAAAUAUAUAAAAACUAAAAGCACCAUAUUUUCAUCAGGAAAUCUAUAGUUUUGGGUGGUGGAAAAGUGACGCCAAGUGGGUAUAAGAAUUUUAAUUUCCAAUUAACUCAAAAAAUUAUUCAUUUAACUCAUGUUUCUGUAUUUCACUUUGUUUUCUUUCCUUACGUUUUCUUAAAUAUGAGUUUCACACACUACGUGGAAUGCUCUUUAGGUGUUCGAUAAAAUGCUUCAACUGAAUCUUUGUAAAUAAGGAGUUGUGGGGAUCGUAGAAAUUAAGCAAGAAAGGUUUUAGUGAGGUUGAUAGUGCAUUUUCACGAUUUUUGUAGUCUGUCUGUAACAUGUAUUUAUUUGCAGGAACUGGAUAGUUUAGCCCCGUUGCAUUCACCGUGUAAUGGAGGAUCCAUCGUUUUUUGAUCGGAUGAUCAGUCAUCUCCGUUCAACUUGCAAGUAUGAAUUCGUUCAUGUGAUCCUUAAUUGCCAGUGUUAACUUGCUGUAUAUGACAGAUUUUUGUUAAUCAUAUUUAUAGUGAGCGUGAUUAUAGUAAUUUGAUUCGUAAAUGUUUCAAGAAUAAGAUACACUUUUGUUCUCUCAACAUAUCUUGAUUUUUUUUUUUUUUUUUUAGAGAACCUCCUAAAGUUCCGACGAAAAAGGUCAAAUAAUGUUUUAUUAUCUUAAGAAUAUAAUAUUAUCAUCUUCGGGAACAUGGGGGAGGCUUUGCACACUCAUGCUAUUAAGCUGCUUGAUAUGUUGUGCAUAUUUGACUAGAAAAAAAAUUUCGGGUAGGAGAAUUAUAUAGGUCUAUUUGGGUUUUUUGAGAGUGGAUGACUCUAUUUUAAUUUCUUUAUGGUGUCAUCUUUACGUUCUGCCCAAAGAGCAGUCCUUGUGCUAUGACUGAGUCAUUUAAUAAUUUCUGUUGGCCUAUUGAAAACUUCUUUCUCUCUCUAUAUUUUAUCUUCAUCAAGUACUUCUAGUCCUGGAUUGGUAUAUAUAUUGAGAUACCAGAAAAAUAUAUUUAAUUCUUUUUCCAAUCAUGUCAAAAAGUGUUUGGAAGCUAAUUUCAAAUCUUCAUAUAUUACUAAUGAAGUUCGGUAGGGAUUGACUAUGGAACGGUAGUUUCCACAAACUCCAGAAAUAGUUGUGUUGUUAUGGUGCACUUCCAUAAUGCCUUUUUCAUGGCAUAGUUUUGCCUAAUCUGAUUCUCCUUCUACUAUAAGAUGUUAAUAUUUUUUGGAAUUUUUGUGAUAACUAAAGGUACUAUACUGGUUAUCCAAAGGAUCUUGGACCAUCCAAGGUUAUUCAUUUUACAUCUGAGCGUGAGUUUGUCACACUUCUUCAUGAAGGUUUUCCUGUGGUUGUUGCAUUUACUAUCAGGUAAUCUGGAGUCAGCUGCUGAAUUCUUACUCGGUUCCCUCUAUUUGAACUUGACUUUGGUUUUAAUGGAAAGGAAAAGUGAAAAGAUUUAAUAAUAACUAAUAACUACUACUUAUUUGAUAAUGCAGGGGGAAUUACACUCGACAUCUUGACAAAGUAUUGGAAGAAGCUGCUGUUGAGUUUUAUCCUCAUGUAAAAUUUAUGCGUGUAAGUUAUUUUUCAUAAUUAAUGUGCUCGUGCAACUGUUGACAACCAUAUCAAUAGCAUCUCUCGUGAUGCAGCAUAGCUCUUGUCUCAUUAGAUUGAACCAGAAUUACAAAAACACAAACACAUAUACUCACACAGCACAGUUCAUCACGACAGUUUUCCUGUCUUUUUAUUUUAUUGCGUGAUUAUUAUUAUUUUCUUGGGUUUGGGCUAUGUAUUUUCUGUGCACUCUGUAGCAUAUUAUUGUGCAUUGGUGAAAUGGUUUUGUUCUGGAGCUUUGCAGGUUGAAUGUCCGAAAUAUCCUGGGUUUUGUAUAACUCGGCAAAAGAAGGAGUAUCCAUUCAUUGAAAUAUUUCACAGUCCAACACAGGUAUGGUGUUCCUUACCUGUUCAUCACUGUUGCAUCACUUCAUUGCAUAAAUUUCCUUCGGGAAAAGUCAUAUAAGAUUUUCUUUUAAUGGAAUGGUUGAUCAGAAAGCACGUAUUCUGCAGCAGCAAUAUGGUUUCUAUUAAUCGGUUAAUCUGUUCAUUGACUACCACCCCAUGUAAAUCCUUUUGUAAUUUGAGACUUGUGUUCCUCUAUACAGGCAGAUAAACAGGGAAGGGUGGCUGAUCCGAAUAUUACUAAAUACAGUGUUAAAGUCUUGCCUGUAAGUUGUUUUUGUUUAAAUUAAGUCUGAAUUGCACCUUGAGAAUCCUUUUUCAGGCUAACUGAUACCUAUCACUGAUUAUUAUUAUUAUUAUUUUGAAUUUUUAACUCUUCUCAAACGUAUGUUUAUAGUGAGUUAUACAUAGGUAGUAAGUCUAGUAAUCUACCAGUAAGUCACUAGAAAAGUUAUCAAAAUUUUGUACAUGCCUGACAUACACUCACUUGCAUCUGUGAGAUGUAAUAUUUUAUCCAAUUUCAAUUUAAUUUUAUGCACUUGCAGUUCAACUACGAUUUAAGCGCUUAUGGAUUUAGAGAAUUCUUCAAGCGACACGGUAUGUGGUCAUCAGAUUCAAAGUAAGUUCCAGCGGAAGGGUUUUAUGUUUCAUAUGUUGAAGAGCCACCUAAUCAUACUCUCUACCUAUCUAUCUGUCAGUAUAUCAUCACAAGUUAACAACUAAUGGCCAAUAUUAUUUGGUUUAAGUUCUCGUCUGGGGCUUUAUUCAUUGUUCCUUUGUGUUGGCAUCUUAGUAUUUCCAUGUUUAUGUUCUCCAACUUCUAGAAUAGAACCUACAAGACGUUUCUCAUCAAUCCCUAUCUGUUAAUUUGUCUAUCAACUACUUGAAUCCUAGAGGCUUCUUUGGAAAGCAAGAUAAACUGCUUGUCUUAAAAGUUGGAUAUGCGAUAUAUUCUUUUGUGUUCUAUAAAUUGAGUGAGAAAUUAUUGCAAUGGUGAUAUAUGCUUUGAGUAUUCAUAAUUUAGCAUGCUUCUACCAUAUUUGAUGUUGAUAAUAUAGUUAUUAAACAUUACAUCUUGUAAUAACUUUAAAACAAAUCUAUAUUUCUUUUAUCAGCCCUAGUCAUACACAGUCAUACACUUAUAUUCUCAUAAUUUGUAAAUAAAAAGUCUUUCUGAACUUUUAAUAGUGCAUAACAUUUUUUUACAGUAGUUUCUAAAGCUAUAAAAGAAAAAGGAUCCUUAAGAGUACAACUGUCAAUCGCAUAAUCCAAUUACUACAUGCAAAAUUCGAGUCAAGCAACAAUAAUAUCGACAUAUAUAGACAGAGCAAAAUAAUCUGAGUUUACAAUUUUUCAUAAAAGGAUUCAAAAUUUCAAGAAUCAAUUUGAAUUUUUCUUAUUUUCUGGAAGUUAUGCGAGAACAUGUAAUAUUUUUAAAAACCAGAAAAUUGAUUUACCCUUCAACAGUUUUCUUUCGUGGAAAUUUAUCAGUAUUUGGAGCUUUGGUAUCAUGUCAACCCUUUACACUUGGGGAGGGAAAGUUGAGGAGAGGUUCUAACUAGGGGCUUCUCCCCCACCUCCAAGCUUUGCCCCUGCACUUCUAAACUUUUUUAUUUUUAUUUUUUAUGUUUAAACUGUCCUUCUAAGGUAAUUUUUUUUUUCUUUCUUAUAAUUAUCCCAUCUAUAUACCAACCAGUUUUUGGUUUUUAAUUUGUUUUAAACGUGUUUUACUCAUUUUAGUUUAAUAAAUUAUAUUUUAAAAUAUUAAAAUAUUAACGCAUAUUAAAUUAUAUUACCCAUUAACAUAUAUUAAAUUAUACUAAAAUAUUGGAUUAAAUAAUACUGAUAAAAUUAUUUGCAGCCUUUCUUGGGGGCCACAAGUUAUACUUCUAAGAACCUAAAAAAUAUCUUGAUGGGAUGAACUUAGAAAAACUUGUUCGAAUCCUUAAAGUCCACGGGUUCGAGCUUCAACAAGAUAGUAUGCUAAAGAAAGAAAAUAGUACAACUCUCAAUGCUUAGAAGCUUACAAAAAGGACACCAACAAAAGCAUUCAAGAGUGAAGAACUCACAAAAGAGUCUAACGAGGAAGAAGACUUUAACGAAGAAGAAGAGGAAGAUGAACUAUCGUUUAUCAUAAGGAGAUUCCACUCUAGGUGGAAAAAAAAGAAACAUUUCUUUUAGAGGGAGAAGUAUCAAAUCAAUCUCAAGAGUGAUCGAAAGGAAAAAAGAAAAGAAGGAUCAAUAAUUUGCUACAAGUGCAAGAAACUAGGACAUUUAAGUUAGAAUGUCCAGAUCUGAAAAAGCCUUAAAAGAAGGUAAUCUUCAACAAGAAGAAAGUUCUCAUGAGAACAAAGAGGCCAACAAAUGUUCUUCAAGAAAAAGAAGACAUAUAUUACUUAGGAGGAAAAUAGUAACUCUACAACAAGCUUAAGCGAUUUUGAUGAGCAAACCAACAUAUGUUUGACGAUUGAUGAUGACAUCUCUAAAAAUCAAGUAAGUAAUCUCUAACGAUUCUGAAAAUUCAGAUUAUAGUGAAAGUGAAUUACUUGACAUGUAUAAAAAAAUAUUAUUUGAAUAAGAGAAAUUAGAUACUGCUCAUAAAAAAAUUAAAGAAGGAAUUUAAAGAAUUAAAAUUAACUCAUGAAAAUAUUCUUGAAGAAAUAAGGAUUUGAAAAAUACAAUUUUGUAUUAUGAAAAAGAUAAAUAUAUCAAAAUUGAAGAAUGUGUUUCUUGUUUAAAUAAAAAGAUGACUCUAAAUAAAACAACCAACGUUGAAUGGAGUAAUAAUUCAAAAAUUAAAAAGGUUGUUAAACAUAUUCCUAAAAAUAAUUAUAAUUAUUAUGAUUAUAAUUAUAGGAAUAAAAUUCGAAAUGUUCCUAAAAAUAAUUAUAAUAAUUAUAAUUAUAAAAAUAAAAUCAAAUAUGUUCCUAACUAUAAUUAAAAUUACUAUUAUGACUAUAAUUAUAAAAUUAAAAAUAAUAGAAUCCAUAAAAUUUGGGUAAAAAAAAGGAACUAAUAAUAAUAAUAGGAAACCAAAUGUUGCUACAUGUUUCUAUUGCAUAAAAAGGGUCAUACAUCGAAUAAAUGCAAACUAAAACAUUAUGAUGUUCCUUGUGGAGAAUAUACUUUGGUUAUAAAAUAAUUUAAAUAUUUGUCUAACUAACCCAAAGGACCCAAUGGUUGGGUACCUAAAAUAGUUUGUUCUCUUUCUAUUUCGCAGAUAAGUUCUAAAUCCAGGAAGUCCAUGUGGUACCUUGAUAGUGGUUGUUCAAGACAUAUAACAAGAGAUAUAAAGAAAUUUACAAAUUUUCGAUAGAAGGAACAAGGCUAUGUCACAUAUGGUGACAAUGACAAAGGAAAGAUCCUCUGAGUAGGAGACAUAUGAAGUGCAAAUGCCUUGAUGAUUAAAGGUGUACUGUUUGUAGAAGGUUUGAAGCACAAUCUUCUCACUAUCAUUCAAUUAUGUGAUAAAGGUUUCAAGGUACGAUUCAAACCCAAUUAUUGCACUAUCCAUGAAAAAUAUUCUUCUGAAGUUGUUUUGAAAGGUAUUAGACAUGCAAAUACUUAUUUAAUUGAUUUGGAAAAUGUUUCAAAUAAAAAUAUUUCAUGUGUAGUAGUAAAAGAAGAAAAUUCAUGGUUGUGGCAUAAGAGAGUUGCUCAUAUUCAUAUGCAACAAUUGAAUAGACUUACAUAUAAAGACUUAGUAAUUGGCCUACCAAAACUCAAUUUUAUAAAAGACAAAGUAUGUGUUGCAUGUCAAAAGGGUAAACAAGUUAAAUCAUCUUUUAAUUCGAAAAAUAUUAUUAUGCUUUAGUUAUUGUUGUGACUAUUCAAGAUAUACAUGGACAUCCUUUAUUACUCUAAAAGUGAAACUUUCAACGUAUUCAAAAAGUUUGCGAAAUAAGUUUAAAAGGAAAAAGAUUUGAAAAUUAAAUAUAUUCGUAGCGAUCAUGGAGGGGAUUUUCAAAAUGAAUCAUUUGAAACUUUUUUGUGAAGAACGUGGAAUUUCUCAUAACCUUUCUGCACCUAGAACUCCACGACAAAAUGGGGUUUUAGAAAGGAAGAAUAAAUCUUUAGAAGAAAUUGCAAGAACUUUUUAUUAAACGAAUCGAAAAUUCCAAAACAUUUUUUGGCUGACAUUGUGAGUACGACAUGUUUUGUUUUAAAUAAAAUGUUUUUUCGUCCUAUUUUAAAAUAUACUCCUUAUGAAUUAUUUAAAAGAAGAAAGCCAAAUCUUUCUCAUUUAAGGAUUUUUGGAUGCAAAUGUUUUGUUUUAAAUAAUGGAAAACAAAAUUUGGGAAAAUUUGAUUUAAAAUCCGAUGAAGCUAUUUUUAUUGGUUAUUCUCUAACGAGCAAAGCAUAUAGAGUUUUUAAUCGGAGAAAUUUUGAAAUUGAAGAAUCUAUACAUGUUGUCUUUGAUGAAAUUGUGGACCUUGAGGAAAAACCUCUUGAGUCAGACGAAUUAGAUGUAGGUGAAGAAGAAGACUUGUAAGAGACAAUAAUUGGUGAGACAAAUAAUCCUUAACCUGAAGAUUUAGCUAAGACAUGGCAACAACCCCGAAAAUUAUCACUAGAAAAUGUUCUUAGAGAAAUCUCAAAAGGGGUAAGUACUUGUAGAAGCUUAGCAAAUUAUUGCAUGACUGUGGCUUUUAUUUAAUAGUUAGAACCUAAGAGCGUGAAGGAAGCUCUAGAAGACGAUCAAUGAUGUGUUGCAAUGGAAGAAGAACUCAACCAGUUUGAAAGAAAUCAAGUCUGGGUUUUAGUUCCAAGAGAAAACACUCAUCAAGUGAUAGGAACUAAAUAGGUGUUCAGAAACAAACUAGAUGAAGAUGGAAAUAUCACCAAGAACAAAGCUAGGCUUAUUGCAAAAGGGUACUGUCAAGAAGAAGGUAUUAAUUAUGAUGAAACAUAUGCUUAUGUUGUCAGGUUAGAGGCAAUAUGCCUACUUAUUGCCUAUGAAUUUAUUAUGAAAUGUAAGUUAUAUCAAAUAAAUGUUAAAGUGCUUUCCUAAAUGGUUAUCUUAAAGAAGAUUUAUUUGUUGAAAUACCACCUGGCUUUGAAGAUUAUAAAUAUCCAAAUCACAUCUUCAAAUUAAAGAAAACUCUUCAUGGUUUAAAACCAACACCUAGAUCUUGGUAUGAAAGACUUAGCUAUUUUAUACUAGAAAAUAGAUUUAAUAGAGGUAAAGUUGACUCCACUUUAUUCAUAAAAAGAAUAGGAAAACAUAUUCUGCUUACCCAGGUAUAUGUUAAUGAUAUUAUAUUUGGAUCAACUAACAAAUCUCUUUGUGAGGAUUUUGCUAAGACUAUGCAGGGUGAGUUUGAAAUCUCAAUGAUGGGUGAAUUAACAUUCUUCCUUGGUUUACAAAUCAAGAAAACGAAAGAAGGUACUUUUCGUUCUCAAACUAAAUAUUGUAGGGAAAUCCUGAAGAAAUUUGAAAUGGAUAAAGCUAAGGAGGUAUCAACUCUUAGGGCUACAUCAUGUUAUCUUGACAAGGAUGAAUCAAGUACACCCGUAAACCAAACUUUGAAUAAAGACAUGAUAGGUUCUUUAUUAUAUCUUUCUACUAGUAGGCCAGAUAUCAUGAAAAAGUGUAUGUGUUUGUGCUAGGUACCAAGCUAGGUCUAGAGAGUCUUACCUUACCAAAGUUAAAUGUAUCCUUAAGUACCUUAAGGGAACUAUGUCUUUUAGGCUGUGGUAUCCAUGUGGGGCUGAACCUGGUCUUGUAGGGUUUUCAGAUGCAGACUUUGGUGGUUGUAUGAUAGAUAGAAAAAACACUAUUGGUAUAUGUCACCUCUUGGGUAGUUCCUUAGUUUCCUGGAAUUUUAAGAAACAAGCUUGUGUAACCCUAUCAACCACAAAGAUUGAGUAUAUUGUUGCAGGUAAUUGUUGUGCUGAAAUAUUAUGGAUGAAACAAAAAAUAGAGGAUUUUGAUAUUUAUCUUGACCAUAUACCUCUUAAGUGUGAUAACACCAGUGCCAUCAAUCUUACUAAGAAUUCCAUUACGCACUUUAGAACCAAACAUAUAAAGAUUAGGCACCACUUUCUUAGAGACUCUAUCCAAAAUGGGGAUUGUGAGAUAGAGUAUGUUGAUACCAAGCACCAAUUAGCAGACAUUUUCACCAAAGCAUUGCCCAAGGAUAGAUUUUAUGAGCUUAAGAAGGGAUUUGGGGGUCCUAGAAAUUGUCUAAAGGUCUUGUAUAUUGCAUUUUUCAUAUUUUCAUAAAUUCUAGUGCAAUAAUCGAUUAUCCCCUGAUGAUAAUCGAUUAUCCUUCCCUUAGAGUUGUUGUAGGUCGCAAUAAUCAAUUAUUGUGAAGGCAUAAUCGAUUAUCACUUUUCUGGGCUUCUGUUUUUGAAACAAUAAUUGAUUAUUUCGAGUAAUAAUCGAUUAUUAGGCGAACAUUACCAUUGGAACUUGUUUUCUAGCCGUUGUAACAUUUAUAAACGACUAAUUUUUGAUGUUUUGUUGCACUCCUUGCUCAUUUGCUAUAUAUAGGGGUCUAUAAUCGAUUGUUUUCACAUCAUUUGAGUAUUCUAUGCAUUUGUGAAGCAUUUUGUGCAAUCUUGGUCCUUUCUUGUGCAUUUUUGUUCCAACCCCUUUGAUCUUCUUUACUCCAACCUUCUACAUUGCUAAUAGAAGGAAACUUCCUACUAGAAGAAGAUCUCACCAACCUACCUUUGUCGAUUCAAGAUCCCGAGCUAAUAAUCUGAGCAGUUGAAUCUCGGAUUAGGAGAAACACUGUGAGUUUACAAUGUUUUGGAAGGAAAGGAAGUUGAUAUCAACAAAGUUUGUUGAUCUAAACUAGUUUCAUGUCUAUAGAUUUCAGUUCCCACCUCUUCUAUUUCAUCAAGGUAUUCAGUCUUUACUGGAAUUACAAGAUAAAUAUGAUCUUGAUUUGGUUCAUGUCUUUUAUUUCAAUUUCAAAGCAAGAGAUGAGAUAUACUCUACUAGAGUCAAAGGAGUAGAUAUUAUUUUGGAUGAUAUUUGGACCACCUGGUGCAACUUCAACUUGAUGAAGAUAUGGUGAUGCUAACCUGGGGGCUCGAAGGCUUUAAUAAGAUCUUGGCCUUUCAUUCAUUCCUAAAGAAUCCUGAGGUUUAAGUGAAUAGGAAGUGGUUGCUGGUGGGUGGCCUCAAGGGAAAUGAAUGGCUUAUCCACUACUUGAUUGUGUCACUGUUGUGUCCUCGUGCUUCAAAUCAUGCUUACUGCUUAGAAGCCGACCUGAUGAUCAUUUAUGGGAUAGUCAAUGAAAUUAAGAUUCAUUGGCCAAGCCUCAUCUACGACACCAUGAUGAAGGCUAAGAGGUAUACACAUUAUCCUCUACCCUAUGCUUUGUUGGUUUUUAGGAUUUAUGAGUAUAUGGGAGUAGAUGUCUCAACUGAGGCAUUAUAGAGCACUAAUCCUGGCAACAAGAUUGACAAUUCUACUCUCCGUUAGAUGGGAUUCAUGUUGUCAGGCAAUACCUACAUCCAUCGUAAUGAUGUGGGGAACCCAAAAGAUGAAGAUGGCGACCAGGAGAUGGACAAUGCCCAGGAUGAAGCGGGACCAUCUACACUAGCAUCAGCCAAUCACUCUUAUUCCUUAAAGAGUCUGUCUAGGCAAUUAUUGAUGUGUCUCUUUUUCAAGCCUCUAGGCAUGAGGAAGUUUUCUCUCUUAUUAGGGGAUUAGAUAACAGGGUCCAUGCUCUAGAGGGGUUAGUUGAACCUCUAAAUGCUGAUGAUAGUGAUGAGUAGUAGUCACCCCUCAUGCAUUUCAUUUACAUUUUGGCUCUCUUAUGUUAUGUUAUGUUUUAUUCUUCUUAAUAAAAUAAAUUUGUCUUAUUUCUUAUUGUAUCCUAUUUAUUUUUGGCUUAUAUUCAGGGGGAGUUCUACAAUUUAAGGGGAGAAUUUUUUCUAUACAUAACUCUUUUUAAUAAUGAUCAAAAGGGGGAGAAAUAUGUUUAAAGGCUUAAUUAUAUUUAUCUUUUGUUUACUAAUCCCUCUUCUUUAAGUUAUGUAUGAGUUACAAAUUAGUACAAGUAAGAAAAAACUUUAAAUCAAAGAAUCUUUUAUCAUCAUCAAAAAGGGAGAGAUUGUUAGCAUAAAGCUGAAGAGCAGAAAUUUUGAUGAUGUCUCAAAGUUAAGUCUCAAGUGCUCUUAUUGCAGGAUGAACUUCAUGAAGACUAGUUUUUAUGUUAAAGAUUUUGUUAUUUAGUGGAUUGAUGUAUAGGGUGUGAUUUAUAGUUGAUUUUGUGUAUUGUUUACUUUAGGUUGCGUUAAAAUUCGUUUUAAAUCAGAAAACUUCAUUUUAUACUCAAGAUAAUCGAUUACCACUUAUGAUAAUCAAUUAUCAAUAAUCGAUUAUGACGAGCAAUUAUGAGAUUUUUCAAGAAAGUUUUUUACCAUUGUGCAUUCAUUAAUGCAUAAUCGAUUACCAUAUCUGGAUAAUCGAUUAUUACACAUUAAAUAGCUGACAACGAAUUUUUGGAGGUAUUCUUGAGUGAGAUCUUUAUAAAUUAGAUUGAAACAGUGUGUGUUUCGAAAUUCUAACAUACAACAUACAAAAUAAGUGUAUUUCGAAAUUCUUAUCUACAGUGUGUGGUGAUAAGUGUUCUAGGGUUUAUGUAACCCUUGUACUGUGGCUUUGAGAGCUUGGUGUGUUGGUAUAAAGUGAGAACUUUCACUGGGAGUGUGAUUGAGUGUUGUUGUUGUUGCUGAGUUGAAAGUCUGUCAUUGAUAACGGUUUAAAACACCGUUAUUUGCUAUGUAAUUUUGAUACUAAAAGCACCCUUUUUCACUUAGAAACUUGCUUGGACUCAUAUCUUUUCAGUAAAAUGAGUGAAUAAGAGAGUUGAGGUUGAUUUCAAUGGUUUUCUAAUAAAUUCCCCUUGUUUUGAAAGAGAUUGAAGCAAUACUGGAAGAAGAAGUGAAAAGCCAAGAAGAUGGGGCUAAAAAGGGCUCAAAAAGACACCAAAAGGAGGGAAAACGCGAAGCCCGAGCUAUAAAGAACGAAAAACAGAGAGAUCACCAUCACCGUUGGUCGCUCGGGCGAUCGCCCCGACUCUUAGGCGACAGACGCUUGACGCCUGGGCAACAAAUUAUGACGUGUAGGCCUUACAAAAGCCUCAAAUCUCGCCCAGGCGAGCUCCUUACGACACUUGACGAUACUUCACCUGACGCGUAGGCCUUACAAAAGCCUCUCUUUUGAUUCUAUUGAAUCGGGCCACACUUUGGGAUGCAUUUGACACUAUUUAAAGGACCCUAGGGCUCUAGGUUUUGCAUCCCUGGCAGAGAAGAACAUAACAAUACACUCUUAGCCAAUUCUUAGUCUUCCAUUCUCUUCUUUUCUUCCAUUAUUCAUAGAGUUCCCCCAUGUCUAUGGGGAACUAAUUUCUAUUUGUUGUUGGGGAAUGAUGUAACCUUGUAAACUCUCAUGUAUUUGAAUUGAUUCUUAAUUUCAUAUGCUUUUUCAUUACUUGUUAGAGUCAUUCAUUUGUUCUUAUUGCUUGCUUAUACAAUAACAUGAUCUAUGAGUUGAAUGAGUGCCGACAGGUUCCUUUCAAUUCAGGUCCUUGUUGAAUUACUCCUAAGGGUUAUAUUGCUCAGAUGUGGGGGUAUGACUCUUAGUCGUCUUAACCUCUUGAUCUUCACAUCUUUUUACCAGGAAUGUUAGGAAUUGUAUGAACGAGUAAUUAGGGACAUGCUUAUUUACCGAGACAUCAAGCUUAAGUGUUUUAGUGAGGGACGUUGACAUUAAUACAAAAAGAAGAAUUCUUAUAUACAUGAGAGGGAACUUGGUGAAAUCUAACCCCAACAACAUAUUCAUCUCAUAUUAAUCAACCUCCGUUCAACUCUGUGCUCUGUUGCCACUGAUCAACUUUAUUUUGCUUUAUUUUAUUAUUUUUGCAAUACAAACCCACGAUCUCUUUUAUUCUAAGUCUUGAUUAAUCUUGUUUUCACACAACUGUUCAGCGCCGAGAGUCCUCUGGGAUACGAUACUUAGUCUUACCAUUUUAUAUUACUCAUGUGACUCGGUACACUUGUCGAUUUGCCCCAACAAGUUUUUCGCACCGUUGACGGGGACACACAGUUUAAGCUAUUCUAUUUGUGUGAUUCUAGAUUAAUUUUGACUUUAUUUUAUUUUUAUUUUUCCAUUUUUCUUUUUUUUCAUUCCCUAAUUUCUCUUUUUAAUUUUUAUUUUUGUGCUAACAAUAUUUUCUAGGGUUUUGUGUUUUGUUUAUGCAGGAUUGUGUGAGAACCAGAAGCAACAAAAAUUCUGAACCUCUUCUUGAAGGACUUGCAACUAGUAGGAGGACAAGAGGAAAUAGAUUAUCUAGAGAACCUUCUCUAGAGAAAAUUUCAAUGGCUUCCCAAACUGGUGAAGUAAAUGCGGAGACCAAUGCUAGUAUGUGCACCUUGGCAGAUUAUACCACAAUUGUGGGCCCUCAUCAUUUUAACAACAUUGCAAAGCCAAGGGUCAACGCUACAAAUAUGGAGAUGAAGCCUACCUUGAUUCACAUUGUAAAGAGCAACCAAUUCAAUGGACUGUCCCAUGAAAGUCCAUAUGAGCACUUGACCACCUUCACUGAGAUCUGCAACACUGUAAAUAUAAAUGGGGUACCUGAUGAGGCUAUAAAACUGAGCCUAUUCCCCUUCUCUCUUGGAGGUAAUGCUAAAUUAUGGUUGAACUCUUUUCCUAAAAAUAGCUUCACUCAGUGGGAAGAUGUGGUGACAAAGUUCCUCAACAAAUACUUCCCACAAUCACAGAUCAACAAAGGAAAGCAAGAGAACUCUUCUUUUAGCCAGGGCAAAGAGGAAACCUUGGGACAGGCAUGGGAAAAAUACAAAAGCUUACUAAGAAAGACGCCUACCCAUGGUUUUGAUGAAGGAACGGUGGUCAUUCUUUUCGUUGGAGUCCUUGAGUCACAAACUAAAUUGGUGCUAGAUGCAUCAGCUGGAGGCAACAUCAAAUGUAAGACCCCUGAUGAGGCCUAUGAAUUAAUUAAGAACAUGACUGUCAGUGACAAUGAGAUGCAUAGUGAGAGAGGAGCACCUACUCAACCUAAAGGAGUUUUUCAAUUACAGCCUUAUGAUGCCUUGCUCGCUCAAAAUAAGAUCAUCACUCAACAAUUGGAGAUUCUGACUAAGAAGGUGAUGCAGCCACAAAAGGAACACCAGAACGUGUCACAAAUUCAACAACAACUUUGUGAGUUAUGUGGUGGUGACCAUAUUAAUGGUCAAUGUGUAGUGCCCGAAAAUCUUAAUGAAGAAGUUAACUGCAUGGAAAACCAGAACCAGUUCCUCCCCAAUAAUUACAAUCAAGGGUGGAAAUCUCACCCAAGCAAUGGAUAGGGUCAAUUUGGGCACACUGGCAGGCAAUUCAAUAGGCCACCACAACAGUAGCAACAAUGGCAACAACAAACCUCUUUAUCUAACCGAACCACAAGGCUUGAAGAACCUCUCCAACAAUUCAUGCAGGCAACCUUGUCCACACAGAAGAGCACAAAUGCUGCCAUCAGAAACUUGGAGAUACAGGUUGGCCAAAUAGCUCAACAACUGAAAGAGAUGCCUUUUAAGAAUUUUGGGGCUAAUACUGAAGUUAACCCCAAAGAGGAAUGUAAUGUUAUAGCAAGCAUGGAAAAUGAGAGAAAAAAGAUAGAGAAGAAAAAGAGAGUGAGAAAGGAGAAAGAAAAAGAGGAGAAGAAAGAUUGAGUGAUCUAGAGAGAGAAGAAGAAAAAGAGAAAAAAAUUGAGAGUGAUGAAAAAAGUGAGAUUGAGAGAAAAGAAGAGGUUGAGAGAAAAAAAGAAGAAAAAGAAAAAAAUAACAAAAGUGAGAAAAAUGUCCACCAUCCUGAGGAACAUGCCACAAAAGAGAUGCGAGCAGGAUGUUUUGAAGAGAUCUCCAAAGAAUUGGGGAUAGAAAUCCCUAUGACAGAGGCCCUGCAACAGAUCGCUGAAUAUAACGAAUUUUUGAAUAGGCUCCUUAAAAAGAAAAAUUUACAAGAGGGGACAACUGAAAAACAAGGGGAUUGCAGCAUGAUCCUGCAGAGGACACUUCCUCCAAAGGUAGAAGAUCCAAGAAGUUUUACUAUUCCCUGCAACAUUGGAAACCACAAAAUUGGGAAAGCCUUAAUUGAUUUAGGAUCCAGUAUCAAUCUAAUGCCCUUAAUUGUUCUCAAAAAGAUUGGUGACUUCGAAGUUAAGCCGGCAAGAAUGUCUCUCCUCAUGGGAGAUGGAUCCCCUAAAAAACCCUAUGGUGUGGUAGAAGAUGUCAUGGUACAAGUCGCCAACUUGAUGUUCCUGGUAGAUUUUGUGGUGUUAGAGAUGGAAGAAAAUGCAAAGAUCCCUAUCAUUCUUGGAAGGCCAUUCAUGAAGACGGCCAAAGUAAUCAUUAAUGUUGAUGAGGGCACCAUAGCCCUUAAGGACCAAGAAGAAAAGGUGAUCUUCAGUGUCUGCAAUACUAGGCGGAAAACCCAAGUGAAGAAAAUCAAUCCCAAAGCCGCAUUCAAAGAUGCACCCGGGAGUGGUACCAAAGCCGCCAGAACAAAAAAGAAAGGUAAAAAGUGUUUUUUGUCACAGGUACCUCAAGAGGAAAAAGAUAGCAAAGGAGAAGAUGUUCACCAAAGUCCACUAAAGAAGCAGGAAGGACUAAGACCUGGCUUGCCUGUACAGUGCAACAAAAGACUUUGGGUGGUAAAAGAACUCAGAGCCGAUGGACUAAUAGAAAUUGAAUCUACUACUUCUAGGAGAACCAAAAAGGUGAACAGGAAAAUGUUAAAGACCAGUUGGCAUGCUAAAGGAAAAGAUAACACCACAAUCAAAGGUGCAACUAAUUGAUGAGCUUAUUGGGUCAAGCUAGUGACGUUAGAAACGCUUGCUAGGAGGCAACCCAGUGCUCUGAACUUUUACUUUUAAUUUUGUUUUUAUGUGUGUUUUCUUUUAUUUUAUUUUAUUAUGCUCUGCUUGAAUGAACUGAACUGCUUUGAUUCACCUAUGCUCUAUUUUGUGUGAUGGGUUUGCUUUUUGAAAAUUCUAGUGUUUGAUUGAAGUUGAGAUGAUGCAUGAUAAAUUUGUGAGACAGGUGCUUGAGAUAAAUUUUGAUUAAAAUACUAAGUAGGAUGUCUUUUUGAAUUUGAGAACUUGAGAUUACCUGUGUGAGUUUUGAGCUUCAGAGUAUUUUUAAAUUAAUUGUUAUUACUUUGGAAGCAUGAAUGAUUUUGCCCAAAUUUUCUAUGAUUGAACUACUUGCUUGCAGGUUCCAUAUGAUCAAGGUCAUCUUUUGUUAUCCCUUAUUCUUUUGGCCUUCACAAAAAUUUUGCCCACUGAGAAGAGAACAAUUUGUUCUAACCUUUGAACCUUGAGCUUUAUGUAUGUCUUGAAAAACCUUUUUGAAAAAUCUUUACCUUGAGUUAAGUUGAGAACAUUUGAGAAGGUAUAGAUAAAGGUUCAAGUUUGGGGUUACCAGGAAAUAAUCCACUUCUCUGGGCAGUGAGCAAUCAAAAGAAAAAUCAAGUGAAAAGCAAAGGAAAAAGAAAAGAAAAAGUGGGAAGAGAAAAAUUCAAAAAGAAAAGAAAAAGCUCACUGCAAGGGAAAGCUGGGAAAAAGAAAGAGAGUUUUGCUCUUAAAUGGUAUUUACACAAAUGUCUCUCUUAACUCAAGAAACUUUGCUGACUAGAAAAACCAAUUUCCUUCUUAGCCCAGCCAAGUUACAAGCCAUAAAAAGUCCUUGUGAUGAUAACCUGCUUGUAAGAAUGUUUGAUGGUGGUUAAACGAAAGGCAAAAAUUAAUUUGUGUGACAUCGUGAUAAUAGAGGGAAACACCACACCAUACACCUGUGAGCUAAGUAAGACACUUUUGAGAACUUGAGUGAUAUACUUUUGAGUGCUUGAGUGAAACACUUUCUCUGGUGAGGAAUAGUUCUCUGAAUUUCUGAUUGCAUUUUUGCUUGGUUGAUUGAUCAUUCUUAAGGAUAGCACCAGAGCAUCACAUUAACUUUGAUUGAAUUCUACACAUCUUGACUGAGAUCUUCAGGAUGAAUUGAUAAAAGUGAUACCUUGUCUUGAAAAAGUUUUUGAAAAAGGUUGAGUCAUUAUAGUGAUUGUUCUGAAAAGCUGAGUUACAUUUUGUUUGCUUGAGGACAAGCAAAGUUCUAAGUUUGGGGUUGUGAUAACGGUUUAGAACACUGUUAUUUGCUAUGUGAUUUUGAUAUUAAAAGCACCCUUUUUCACUUAGAAACUUGCUUGGACUAAUAUGUUUUCAAUAAAAUGUGUGAAUAAGAGAGUUGAGGUUGAUUUCAAUGGUUUUCUAACAAAUUCCCCUUAUUUUGAUAGAGAUUGAAGCAAUACUGGAAGAAGAAGUGAAAAGCCAAGAAGAUGAAGCUAAAAAAGGGUAAAAAAGACACCAAAAGGAGGGAAACGUGAAGCCCGAGCGAAAAAGAACGAAAGAAACUGAGAUCACCAUCACCGCUGGUUGCCCGGGCGAUGGCCCCACUUUGGGACGCGUUUGAAAAUAUUUAAAGGACCCUAGGGCUCUAGAUUUUGCAUCCUUGGCAGAGAAGAGCAUAACAAUACACUCUUAGUCAAUUCUUAGUCUUUCAUUCUCUUCUUUUCUUCCAUUAUUCAUAGAGUUCCCCCAUGUCUAUGGGAAACUAAUUUCUAUUUGUUGUUGGGGAAUGAUGUAACCUUGUAAACUCUCAUGUAUUUGAAUUGAUUCUUAAUUUCAUAUUCUUUUUCAUUAAUUGNAGAGGCAUGGCACUAGGUGUAUGUGAACUUUUGUGGAUUAAAAAUGUGCUAUCAGAUUUGGGAUUUAAACAAAAUGAAGUUAUGAGUUUGUACUGUGACAAUAAUUCGGCUAUUGCAAUUGCUCAUAAUCCUGUUCAACAUGAUAGAACAAAGCAUGUGGAGAUUGAUAGACAUUUCAUCAAAGAGAAGAUUGAAGCUGGAAUAAUUUCAUUUUCUUUUGUAAGAUCAGAGUUACAGUUGGCUGAUGUUCUCACUAAAGGAGUGUCAAGAAGAUUGUUUGAUGAGUCUCUAUUCAAGUUGGGAAUGUGUGAUAUCCAUGCACCAACUUGAGUGGGGGUGUUAAGAUAUGUCAAAUAUUCUAUUAAAGGAUAUUAGGCAAUCAAACAUUAUGUUAGUUAUAUUUUAGAUAUUAUUAUAAUUUGUACAUAUUUGUGCACAUGUUUUUUCUUUAAUAGAUGAAGGAUUAUAAGAUUCUUGUAUGUAUAUAUAUGGUACUCUAUUCUUUGAAAUAAUACAUCAAGAAUUUUUAAUCUUUUUAAUAAAAUUCACUACGCGUUAUUAACAUAUAUAAUUGAUUUAUUACAAACGGAUUACUGAUAACAAAAAGAAUUUGUCGAUGUUUAUUAAUACUGUUGUAAUGAACUAUUUAUAUGAAAAUUAGGUGAUCAAACUUGCUAAGAAUAUUAUUUCAAUUUUCUUUAAAGAUUUCUAGAAAAUUUUCUAAGGGAGGAAAACAUUUGAGGAUAAAUUAACGGAUUUCCAAACAUACUUUAUUCCCUGCUUUAAAAGUAGGAAUAUUGUUUAUAAAUAGGUUUAGUACGCUGAAAAUUUUUAUGAAUUUAUGUGAGUUGGUUUGGUGUGAACGAUUUUUUUUCAUUAUUAAUGAAAUUUACAAAUUAUUGAUACGUAUUAUGAUGUCAACCUAAGAUGUCUUUUUAAAUCUACUUAUAAAAAAACGCAUAUACUUUUUAAUUUUAUUUUAUUUUUCUUCUAUUCUAUUUCAGAUCAUUCAUACCACUUUUCUUUCUAUUUUUUUUUUUUUACUUUUUGAUAUUGUGGAGCUUAACUUUAGAAUACAAUAUUGGAAAAUCAAAAGUAGUUUGCUAUUUCUACAUAUAAAUAAUUUAUGGGAAUUUUGUGAGGGUGUUGCUCCCUCUACCUUUCUAGGUGGGGUUUGUACCUCUCCAAUAUUUUAAUUUAUUUCAAAAAUAUUCUAGACCUCCUCACUAUUUUCUUUUACUCCAAAAAUACCCUACAUCUCUCCUAUCCUUAACAAUCUUUCUCUUUCUCUCUCUAUAUUAAUGGAGCAUUUACAUGGCUCAUUAAUGAAGCAUUUACAUGACUCAUUAAUGAAGCAUUUACAUGACUCAAAUUUGAACUUGUGAUAUAUAUUUUCUUAAAUAAGUUUGAUUGAAUCUUAUUUUUGUUGUUGAAUAUAUUUUUUUUCUUUUCAAAUUACUUAAUAAAUGAUAAAAUUUUGUUCUAAAUUUCUAGAAAAAUGUUUAUAUAUAUGUGUGUUUUUUUAUAUAUAAUAUCUAUCAUUUUUAACAUUAUAUUAUGUUUUAACUCACCGACAUNNNNNNNNNNNNNNNNNNNNNNNNNNNNNNNNNNNNNNNNNNNNNNNNNNNNNNNNNNNNNNNNNNNNNNNNNNNNNNNNNNNNNNNNNNNNNNNNNNNNNNNNNNNNNNNNNNNNNNNNNNNNNNNNNNNNNNNNNNNNNNNNNNNNNNNNNNNNNNNNNNNNNNNNNNNNNNNNNNNNNNNNNNNNNNNNNNNNNNNNNNNNNNNNNNNNNNNNNNNNNNNNNNNNNNNNNNNNNNNNNNNNNNNNNNNNNNNNNNNNNNNNNNNNNNNNNNNNNNNNNNNNNNNNNNNNNNNNNNNNNNNNNNNNNNNNNNNNNNNNNNNNNNNNNNNNNNNNNNNNNNNNNNNNNNNNNNNNNNNNNNNNNNNNNNNNNNNNNNNNNNNNNNNNNNNNNNNNNNNNNNNNNNNNNNNNNNNNNNNNNNNNNNNNNNNNNNNNNNNNNNNNNNNNNNNNNNNNNNNNNNNNNNNNNNNNNNNNNNNNNNNNNNNNNNNNNNNNNNNNNNNNNNNNNNNNNNNNNNNNNNNNNNNNNNNNNNNNNNNNNNNNNNNNNNNNNNNNNNNNNNNNNNNNNNNNNNNNNNNNNNNNNNNNNNNNNNNNNNNNNNNNNNNNNNNNNNNNNNNNNNNNNNNNNNNNNNNNNNNNNNNNNNNNNNNNNNNNNNNNNNNNNNNNNNNNNNNNNNNNNNNNNNNNNNNNNNNNNNNNNNNNNNNNNNNNNNNNNNNNNNNNNNNNNNNNNNNNNNNNNNNNNNNNNNNNNNNNNNNNNNNNNNNNNNNNNNNNNNNNNNNNNNNNNNNNNNNNNNNNNNNNNNNNNNNNNNNNNNNNNNNNNNNNNNNNNNNNNNNNNNNNNNNNNNNNNNNNNNNNNNNNNNNNNNNNNNNNNNNNNNNNNNNNNNNNNNNNNNNNNNNNNNNNNNNNNNNNNNNNNNNNNNNNNNNNNNNNNNNNNNNNNNNNNNNNNNNNNNNNNNNNNNNNNNNNNNNNNNNNNNNNNNNNNNNNNNNNNNNNNNNNNNNNNNNNNNNNNNNNNNNNNNNNNNNNNNNNNNNNNNNNNNNNNNNNNNNNNNNNNNNNNNNNNNNNNNNNNNNNNNNNNNNNNNNNNNNNNNNNNNNNNNNNNNNNNNNNNNNNNNNNNNNNNNNNNNNNNNNNNNNNNNNNNNNNNNNNNNNNNNNNNNNNNNNNNNNNNNNNNNNNNNNNNNNNNNNNNNNNNNNNNNNNNNNNNNNAUAUAUAUAAACAUUUUUCUAGAAAUUUAGAACAAAAUUUUAUCAUUUAUUAAGUAAUUUGAAAAGAAAAAAAAUAUAUUCAACAGUAAAAAUAAGAUUGAAUCAAACUUAUUUAAGAAAAUAUAUCACAAGUUCAAAUUUGAGUCAUGUAAAUGCUCCAUUAAUGUAGAGAGAGAAAGAGAAAGAUUGUUAAGGAUAAUAGGGAGGUGUAGGGUAUUUUUGAAAUAAAAGAAAAUAUGAGAAGGUGUAGAAUAUUUUUGAAAUAAAUUAAAAUAGUGGAAAGAUACUGGAGAGGUGUAGGGAGCAACACUCUUGUGAACAUAAUCUUUAAUUAAGUAUUUAAAAUGGCCUACUACUUCCUGUACCCCAUUUGUUUUGUCCUGCACCUCUAUAGUUUGUAAAAUUCCCGUUCUGUCCUUAUAAAUUUAUAAUAUAUUCUCACUAUCUCCACUCCUCUUUCUUCCUUCUCCGCCUCCAUUCCCUCAACCUUUCUUCAUCUUCCACGCAUUCACCCCUCAACCCUUCAUCUUCCUUGACUCUUUGGUCACCAUUGAAGCUUUAGAAGCUUUGUAACAUAAGCAAGGCUCUCCAUUGAUUCAAUAGAAGUAUGAACUUUGGUUUAGUUUUGUUUUCAUUGCCGAAUUAAUGAAUCCAGAAUAUAUUAUCGAAUCUGGAAAAGAGAUUUCAGAAUGAAUAAUCUAGAACUUUUUAUUAGAAAUAACACAUGAACUAUCAUCCAGAAUAUAUUUCCAAAUUCUGAAGAACAUUCUAAAUUGUAUUUAUCAAAAUAUGUUUUUUAUUUUUUUAAAGUAUAAUCCGAAAUGUUAUUUGAAAUCCGGAAAUGCAAUCGGGAACACAAAAACUUUUUGAACUGUUAUGUUGUUGUGUUUCCUCCUUCCUUCACUGUCAACAAAAUAACUGUCAAAUCUUUGUCACACCACCAUGGCCACCGACCUUGGAAGCAUGAAAUUCCUUUAUAAUUUGAAGUUGGAAUGAACCUCCUUUCAACUUGCAAGUAUAAUGACAAUCCUGCCAAUUGUCUUGCAAGCACUGAUUAAAAAUUACUGCUAAGUGUGUAUCUUGCUGAGUGCCAUCUGCCAUUGCUUUUAACCACUCAUUAUUAGAUUCAGACCAAGCCAUCAUACAACUGCGCAAUAAUGCAUCUGCAUCUAUAUUCUCUUUCUCGGGCUUAUAUUGGAUUGUCAAAUCAUAGCCAAGAAACUUCGGCAACCAUCGUUGUCGUUUUCGGGUUUGUAAAUUCUGCUCUUUUAUCUAUCCCAAAAUUUGUGGUAAAGAAGAUAAUGUCGAAAUUUAGCUAACGCUUCCGUGAUUGCAUAGAACUCCCGAGUGUAGGCGGAUUGGCGUUGCAUCCUCGAUGACACCUUCAUUGUCAAGACAACUAAAACUCAAAAUAAUUCAAAAAUAUUUAAAAUUAAAAAACAUAAAAUAGGCACCAGUCCAUCCCAAAAAACAAUUAUACUUAAAAUAAUUAUAGAAUUUUUAAAGCCAGAAAACAUGGUACAAGCUUCGAUUUUUCAUAUAACCAAAAUUUAUUGGUAUUAUAUGUGUCGAUUCUUCUAAAUAACUAUAUAAAAUUAGAAAGUGAGGGAAUGGGAACCAAUUUUGUAGAUUACUGAAACCUAUUUUUUUUUAAUAUAUUUUUUUUUAUAAUAACCAAAUCUUUAUGCUUUGGCUUAGAUAAUAAUUGAAGUCUAUUAUUAAUUUGUCUUGAUAUAUUUUUUGUUUUGGUUUUUCUAUAUAAUAACGAACUUGGACAACUUGAAACCAUAAAAGAAUACAGACAGAAACUACGGCAAAAUACAGACAGUAUUUUAAAUAAUAUACAAAGUAUAUUUUAGAAUAUAGAUAAUACUUUACAUAUUGUAUAAAGUAUAUUUUAUAUCUAAUAAUGAUUACAAAGUGGAUUUAAUCAAAUUAGUCUACAUAUUUUAUAUUGUUUCAGCGGGGUUCGAGGAUCGGUUGAUCUUUCUUCUCUGUUCUCUGUGGGUGGUUUUAAUCCCUCUUGAGAAUACAAUUCUGCGAUGGACCUCCAAAAGGCACUCCGACACUCAAGUUAGAUAUGUUGGAUGGAGAAGUCUACAUAUUUUAUUUAGGAUAGCUCAAGGUUCUCUUACCUACGUCAGUGAUAUACUUACAAGGCUUGUGUAACUAAGCACAUUGAUUAAUCAUUAAACCACACCAUCAAAUUAAAUAAUACAUGUUAAUUGUCCAUUAAUAUCAGAUUCUUGUACAAUAUGACCUGUUAAUCACUCAUAAAUAGUAUAUAUUCACAUUUAAUAUGACCAUUAAACAUAUUAAUUGGUCAUUAAUGAUUUUUACCUUUCCUGAUUGGUGUUUAUCUAACCAUCGGACGGUUGCCUGUUUUGACCCCGGAUUCUUCCUAGUCGGUCGGUCGUCGGGAUAUAGUACAUUAAGCCCCCCAAGCCUCGAGCAGUUGUUUGCAGGUGUGAAGGGGUUUAAUUAUGUCGGACGAAUUUGGACGAAAGUGAGAGUUCACGAGGAGCAUUCCCCACCGCUCGGUUUAGGAUGAGAGUGGGAGUUCACGAGGAGCUUGCCCCACCGCUCGGUUUAGGACGAGAGUGAGAGUUCACGAGGAGCUUGCCCCACCGCUCGGUUUAGGACGAGAGUGAGNAACUAAUUUCUAUUUGUUGUUGGGGAAUGAUGUAACCUUGUAAACUCUCAUGUAUUUGAAUUGAUUCUUAAUUUCAUAUUCUUUUUCAUUAAUUGUUAGAGUAAUUCAUCUGUUCUUAUUGCUUGCUUAUACAAUAACAUGAUCUGUGAGUUGAAUGAGUCCCGACAGGUUCCUUUCAAUUUAGGUCCUUAUUGAAUUUCUCCUAAGGGUUAUAUUGCUCAGACAUAAGGGUAUGAGUCUUAGUCGUCUUAACCUCUUGAUCUUCACAUCUUUUUACCAAGAAUGCUAGGAAUUGUAUGAACUAGUAAUUAGGGACAAACUUAUUUACCAAGACAUCGGGUUUAAGUGUUUUAGUGAGGGACGUUGGCAUUAAUGCAUAAAGAAGAAUUCUUAUAUACAUGAGAGGGAACUUGGUGAAAUCUAACCCCAACAAUAUAUUCAUCUCAUAUUAAUCAACCUUCGUUCAUCUAUGUGCUCUGUUGCCACUGAUCAACUUUAUUUUGCUUUAUUUUAUUAUUUUUGCAAUACAAACCCAUGAUCUCUUUUAUUCUAAGGCUUGAUUAAUCUUGUUUUCACACAACUGUUCAGCACCGAGAGUUCUCUGGGAUACGAUACUUGGUCUUACCAUUUUAUAUUACUUAUGCGACUCGGUACACUUGUUGAUUUGCCCCAAUAGUCAUCCUUUGUGAAGAUUCAAAGGAGGUGUUCAUCCUUUGUAAAGAUUCAUAGGAGGUAGUCAUCAUUCGUGAAACAUUCAGAGGUGGUGGUCAUCCUUUAUGAAGCAUUCAGUGGAGGUGUUCAUCCCUUGUGGAUUGUAGGGAAAGUAAGUUUCAUCUCUUGGGGUAACAAGAGAGGUGUUCUAACCUUCAACUUGUUUAUUUUCUUUGUGAUUAUAACAAUUUGUUGAUUUGUGCUAGUGAUGCGUUAAUUCUUGGUUGAGAUUAACUACUUGAUGUAGGGUCUGUUUGAUCCGAACUAGUAUAAAAAUUACUUAUGCAAUUUUCUCUCUUCCUUACUCUUCAAAUUUGUUUAAAUUAUUUUAAGGAAUUUUUAUAUUUAUGAUAAAAUUAUUAAAAGAAUGAUUUGCGAUAGAAAACCAAUUCAUCCCCUCUUAGUUUGUUGAACACGUUAACCAUUCCGUUGUAUCGCUUUGGUAGUAUCCGUCGAGCAAUUUGGAUGAGCAAUUAUACCCAAAACUUAAGACUUCACAACAACUUUCAGACUUUAGACGACCCACCAUAACUUUGAUCAUUGACCUUGACCUUACAUCCCCAAAUAUAGAAGUUUUUUUGUUGAGAGGAUGAAGAGUUUGAUCUUUGUAAUGGAGGAAGUUUGUGAAAAUAAAACAACAAUAAUAUUUUAACAUUUAAAUUUUUAUUUAUUUAUUUAACACUAUUUUUAUUAUUUUUUAUCUUCCUUUUUUAUAAAUAAUAUAGAAAAUUACUUUUUUUUAAUAACCAUUGUUUCCCACGCAGUAGAUUAUUAAGUGGUUUUUCUUGUCAAUAAUCUUUUUUCCUUCCCAACAUAUGUGAUGGGUAAGUGCAUGCCUAGAGAGAAGUAUACUAAAGACAAUUAAAAGAAUGAAUGAAAAAUAAAAGCGGAAAAAGGAAAGAGAGAGAAAACUUAUGACUCGUAGACACGCCACUUGAGAGAGGACUCCAAGAUAAGUGCCGAAGAAGGACCGCCCUUGCUUUGCAGAAGAUAAGAUCUGCCCAAAAUGGACUAAAGAGACAGAUGCCUAUCUUUACGAAGAAUGCAAAAUUGCAAUUCAAUCUGCAAAUUGAAUUGAUUCAAAGGUUUUUUUACAAGGAGAACCCCUAGGCUUACUUAUAUAGCUUUUGAAAGGAAUUUAGUGAAGAGUUUCAAGCAAUGUGAGACUUCGAAGGCCCCAAGACCUGGCCAGUAGCUGCAACAGUGCCCCUAGGUGCUUGGAGUCCCACAUUGCUUAUUCUCUCAUUCCAAAGGGGUUUAUAAACCACCUAGCUCUCCUAAAUUUCAAAAAAUGAAAACAUGCUAUGCUACCUUGCACUACAAGCUAAGACGCCUUUUUUCCUCUUCUUUUCUUUUAUGACCAAGCCAUGGAAAGUCCCACGUUGCUUGUGCUUAAAGGAAAAGAAGAGUUUAUAAGAGUUUAUUCAACUAGAACUAAUGAAAAGAAAUAAAGAGGCAAAUACAAGCCCAUGAAACAUAUUCUACUCUUUUAUGCUCUUCUGUAACUCUGAAAACUCUUCAUUGUUGCCCUAUUUAUGAUCAUAUCAAUAUGGCACAUAUUAGAGCUAAGGUUAGGCAUAAAUAACUAACUUUACUACAUUAUAGUUAAUUAUAUUAUAUCAUACUAAAAAAAGUAAUCCAUUUUUACUAAACCUAAGUAUAUUUCUAGUUUAGUUUUGAAAAAUUGAACUUAUUAAAUUUUCAGUUCAGUGUUAAUUCUUUGAGAACUCUCUCGUGGUUUUCUUCACUCUCUUAUUUUUCGUUAUUCCUAAAAUGUGAAUCAGAGCAUACGAGAGCUCCAACGAAAAUCCAUGGUGACCUUCCCUUGCUCUGACGUGAUGCGGUUGUUGCCUACCGUGACCUUGUCAUCGAAAGAGGGCUCCAACGAAAACCCACAGUGACCCUGCCUUGGCCCUACCGUGACGCGCAACCUAUGCCAUCAGGACCCUGUCACAAAGGAGAGCUCCAACGAAAACCCAUGGUGACCCUACUUUGACCCAGCCGUGCUGUAAUUGCUUCCCACCGUGACCCUGUCGUCGAGGGUCCCUACCGCAUUUGCUAUUGCUCCAAUCGUCGAGGGACUUGGUCAUAGGUUUUACUGCAUUGAUCAUUGAGGGGCCUUGUGUUAUUCACUACCGUACCGAUCGUCGAGGUAAAAAGUGAUAUGAUUAUUGUGUUGCUUUACUUUGUGCUUUCCUUAAACCUAUGAUAAACUUGAUUUUGAAAUCAUGUCAACUUGUUAAAUUCUACACCACCAUUCGAAUAUGUUGCUGAUAUUUGACAAACGUUACUCAAGAAUGGCUUCAGGUUCUUCUACAAAAGAAAUAUCAAUAAUAUGGUUAGACACAACUAAGCAAUUUGUAGCAUCACCAAUGUAUUUCUUUAACUGGAAAACAUGGUAUGCAUUGUGAAUUUGAGAAGUUCUUGGUAACUGUAACUUGUAGGCACUGCCCCGACAUUAUCCAUCCCUAGAAAAAUACCAUAGUACUUAUGAGCCAAUUUUUCAUUAAUUAUAGUUGUUGUUGAGUCUUGCCUGUAGGAAUGAAGUUUCUAAUAAAUUUAAAGGCAACUACCUUGUAGGGGCAUUUGCAGGAUUAUGUAGAUUAGGAACUUCAAUUUCUUACUUGAUUGUCUUACACAUUAACACAUUGGGACUCUAAGGUCAUGUAAAGCAUUAAGUUGACACGCACUAUUAAGACUUUGGGUGUCGUGUUUGUAGAUUUAGGCUAUGAGAUGGGUUAAGUGAGUUACUGCAAUGGCUUUUGCCAUGGAAGUGCUCAUUGGAAGUGUUAAACUAUAAAGAUGAAGAGAAACAUUAAACUGAAAAUGUUGUGUGGUUUAUUUAUAUUGAGAGAAAGAAAUCAGUACAAUACAUGAAGGGUAUUUGAUAUCCUCUAAUAAUAAAGAUAUGAUCCUAUAGUAAUACAUAUAUAAUCUUGAUAUUUUGUUUAUAAAGAUAUUAUUUUGAUAUAUAUAAUUAUAACACUCUCCUUCAAGUUAGAAUAUAUAAGUCAAAUGUAUUCAACUUGCUAUAGAAUUGAUCAUUGGUCAUCUUAGAGAUGAAGUGAAUGUUUGCUAGUUGUUCACUAGAUUUAAUAACUAAAGAUUGUUGUUGUUUUCAUUUUAUAUUCCUUUAUAUUAGUCUGAGUUUCUAUACCAUUAAUAAUUUCAGUUUGUACGUGAUCCACGAUUUGAAUCUCUUUUGUGGUACACUUGACCGUUAAAGAUAUGUUGAACUUUAGACAUUUUCUUUGGAAUUAGUAUUUACUCACAUAAUUGAUACUUCUAGCUUAUGUCAUAGGCUCAUAGCAUUGCUUUCUACAUAUUUUAUUUCAUGAUUACUGUAACUAGAAUUUAUACUAUGAUAUGAACAAUUUAAUGCAAGAGAGUUUUUUGUUCCUGUUAAUGCAUUCAAUUAUUUUAGUUUUUGUGGAUGGUUAGGAUUUCUUCACCGGUUCCAUAAAUGUUUAAUUUUGAACUAAGAUUAGUAAGACUGAAUUAUCUAAUAUGAAGCAGCAACCUAUCCCACUGGCAACCCUGAUUGGCCGGGAGCUACGAAAUGGAAAAAUUAAAAAGCCUUUUGUUAAGUUUGGGUGUUAAGACUCUGGCAAGUGUACUGAAUCGUAUUAAGUAAUAUAAAUGGUAAGACCAAGUAUCAUUUUCCCUAGAGACUCAUUGGCCUAGACAGUCAUAUGAUUUGUUAAUUAUUUAAGACUUGAGAAACAAAAAUCAGUGUUUAUAAUGCAAAACAGAAAAUAAACAUGAAUGCGGUUGUUGAUCAAUUGACCAAAAGAAUACUCAGGUGAAUGAUAUAUGGAUGAAUUAUGUUGUUGGGGUUUUCGACUUUAUCCUGUCCACUCUCAUGUAUUUACGAAUUCAACUCUUUCAUUAAUGUCAAUGCCACUUUCUAAUGUACCCUAAACUCGAUGUCUUGGUGAAGAGAGCCUACUCCUAAUUACUAGUUUACAAUGUCUUGCCUCCCUAGCAAUUUAUCAUGCAUUACAUUCGCACAGAAGCUUAAAGGCAAUUGGUCUUGCUAUCCGUAUGUCUAGGUAAUAUUGCUCCUGAGAGAAUUUCCCCAAGUCUAGAUUUUCCCGUAUGUGUCCAUAUCGACAAAAUCAAUGAUCAUGCAAUUGAGUAAGUUAAACAAAGCAUGCAUAGAGUAUAGAGGAAAAACCCUAAAAAUCAAUGAAGUAAAGCAUUUGCAAUAUAAAUCAAUUCAAUACAUGAGAGUUUCAAAGGAUUAUAUUGUUUCCCCAACAACAAUGGAGGUUUAGUUCACCAUAAACAUAGUGAAACUAGAUGAAAACAAUGAAAAGAAUGAAAGAUAAAACCCUAGAAUUUGUAUAUUGGAGCUUCCACAUCCAAAUUCUGCCUCCGAGGUGUGAAGAGAGUGUUUCUACGCUUCUUUCUGUCCAAAAAAUAUCCUCUCUACGUCGUGCAAAUCAAUAUAUAGUUCAUAAAAAAUAGCAGAAACUGGCCUAGGCCCAUGAGAUUGGCGCUCAACGCUGGUUUUGCCGCUCAGCGGUAGGCACGAGACUCAAAAAUAAUGCUCAACGUUGACGCCCAAGCUCCUAGCAGUGAACUCUUUGAAAAGGCUGACACUCAGCGGUCACUACAACACUUGGAUUUUCCCCUCAGCAUUGGCGCUUAAGUGUCGUCCAGAGAACUCCACAACGAAGCUAGCACUCAGCAGUGGAAUUGGCGCUCAGCGCCAUCUGCAAUUCUUCUAUUAAGCACUUUUCCAACUUCUCUUGAGUCCAAUUCCCUACUACCUCAGUUUUUUUCAUUCAAUUCAUGUUAAUUCCUGCCAAAACAAGGAAAACCAAGCAUAAUACUAAUAAUACUACCUUCAACUCUCUUAUUCUUUAACUUAAGUAAAAAGCAUGAUUUCAAGCUAGUUUCUAAGUCAUAAAAGGUGUGUUUAGUGUCAAAUUUAAGUAUAAAAAUAACGGUAUUUCAACCGUUAUCAAUGGGCAAGUUGGUUUGGCAAAGAAAGGAGAAUAUUACUUUCUAAUCAAGACAGAUUGCAAAAGAGUUCCUGGGGAUUCAUCAAUGUCUUUGUUUACAUUUUCAGUUGUAUUUACUUAACAUGAUUAGCGUCCUUUUUGCUUUUGGUGAAAUGUUAUGGAUAGAUAGCUGAAUAAUGACAAAGAUGAGAAUUUGUCCUAACAUAAGCCUGAAUUGGUAAUCAGUAAUACAAUUAUGCACAUUGGAGACAUGUUUGUUUCUCAGGUUUAAUAAAUAAAUGACAAUUGAAGUGCAUGUUUUCUUUCUUCUCCUAAAUUUUUCUCAGUGAUCAAUUAGAGCCUCAAUUUAUUCCCAUAAUGGUUAUUGUAUCCAUAAGAAAUUCUUGAUUAAGAGAACUUUGAUGGGCAUAAUGGUAUAUGUGUUGUUAUCUUUGUGAAGGAAAACAUACUAAGUAAUUUUUUGAGUGCAAUAUCGCAAGAUAUCACUAGGGAUGAGUGGCUUCAAGCUCUGCCUCAUGCUCUAGUUGUUGCUUUUGUGAAAAUCAACAAAGUAGAUGAUAACGGUUCAAAAACCGUUAUUUGUACACUUAAAUUUGAUAUAAAACACACCCUUUAUGACUCAGAAACUAGCUUGGAAUCAUGCAUUUUUGCUUAAGUUAGAGAAUAAGCGAGUCAAAGGUGGUUUUAGUGGUAUUAUGUUUGUUUUUCCUUAUUUUGGCAGGAUUUAACAUGAAUUGAAUGAAGGAAGUUGAAGUAGGAAGGAGUAGGAAGGAGUUGGACUCAAGAAAAGAUGGAUAAGUACACAAAUGAAGAAACGUAGCCACCGCUGAGCGUUAGGCCACCGUUGAGUGCCAGCUUCGCUGAAUAGUUCUCUAUCAAACGCUCAAGCACCAAUGCUGAGGGGAGAAUUUGAGUAUCGCGCCCACCGUUGAGUGUUAUCCACCGCUGAGCGCUGGUUUCUAUAGUGAACUCGCUUUCAGACGUCUGGCGUCAACGCUGAGCGUCCAUCUUGAGUGUCGUACCCACCGCUAAGCGGUGACCCAGCGCUGAGCGCCACUGCUUUGGGCUUGGGCCAGUUUCUCCUAUGUUUUAAUGAAUUAUAAAUAGAUCUGCAUGACCUAGGUGGUUUAUCUUUUGGCAGAAGAGACGCAGAAACACACUUCUCACCCCUUGGAGGAAGAUUUUGGAUGUGAGAGCUCCAACUUAUCAAAUCUAGGGUUUAUCUUUUCAUUCGUAUCAUUGUUUUCAUCUAGUUUCACCAUGUCUAUGGUCAACUAAUUUUCCAUUGUUGUUUGGGGAAACAAUGUAAUCCUAUUGAAACUCUCAUAUAUUGAAUUGAUGCUUUAUUCAUAUGCUUUCUUUUAUUAAUUUAGAUUUUUUCCUCCAUUACCUUUGCAUGCUUUGUUUAAGACAUUAUCCAGUAGCGUGAUCUUUGAUUUUAUCUAUAUGGACACAUGUGGGUAGAUCUAGACAUGAGGAAAUUCUCUCGGGAACAAUAUUACCUAGGCAUAGGGAUAGGAGGAUCGAUUGCCUUUAAGCUUCUGUGUGAAUGUAAUGCAAGAACAAUUGCUAGGGAGACAAGACAUUGUAAACUACUAUAGGAUAGGCUCUUUUCACCAAGACAUUGGGAUUAAGGUAAUUUAGAAAGUGGCAUUAACAUUAAUAAAAAAGUAGAAUUCGUAAAUAUAUGAGAGUGGAUUAGGACAAGUCGGAAACCCCAACAACAUAAUUCAUCCAUAUCAUUCAACUGUCAAUUGAUCAACUUUUGCAUGUGCAUAUUUAAUUUUCGUUUUAGCAUUACAAACCAUAAUUUUUAUCAAGUCUUAUAUAAUCAACAAAUCACAUGAAAGCCUAGGCCUAUGAGUCUCUAAGGAAAUGAUACUUGGUCUUACUACUUAUUAUUACUUGAUACGAUUCGGUACACUUGUCGGAGUCUUAAUAGUAGACCAAUUUAGUAUUGAACAAUUAAAAGUUUGAGGGUAAUAGUUGGUUCAACCAAGGUUGUCAAACUCGAGAGUUUACGUAAACUCGUGAGAGUCCAAUAAACUCGACUCGUAAACUCGUAAGAGUUUACUUUGCAUGAAAAAAAAUAUAAAUAACAUCCUUCCUAAUUCAAAUAAGAUAAAAAAAUUGUAUAAAUUGAAAUAGAUAAAUUCAUAGAAAUAUUGUUCAUAAAAAUAUAAUGUAAACAUAAAUUGAAAUGUCAAAGUCUCUAUGCAUAAUCCUCUAAUAAUGGCAUCAUCAUCUCCACCAUCAUCCUCAUCUAACUCUUCCUCUGAUGAAUGUUGUGCAUCCUCAUUGUUCCCAAAUGUUAUGUUAUCAAGAUCAAAAGCAUCUAGACCAGGAUAUGUUGUUACUCCAUCUAAGUGAACAUUUUAACCAUCAUUUCCACCUUCAACUUGAUCAAUCUCAACAACACCAUCUGCUUCUUCAGCUAUCCAUUCAUCAUCCGAUUCAAUGUCAUCAAAUGGAAGAGGUACAAUUUUUCGAAUUUGUCUACUUUUCAGCUUGGAGUUAUACAUCACAUAAACUAAAUCAUUCAUCUUUUUUUGAUGCAAACAAUUCCUUCUCUUUGUAUGAACCUAAAAUAAAAUAUAAUAUUUUUAGUGAAGACAUAAACAUAAUAAAGGAAUUUAUAAUUUAAAAAUAAUUUAAAUUACCAUUUCAAAUGAGCUCCAAUUACGCUCACAUCCAGAAGAACUACAAGUCAAGCUUAGAAUUCGAAUAGAAAAUCUCUUCAACUUCGGAGUUCUAUCACUAAAGAUGUCCCACCAAUCCCCGGGAUUUAACUCUUUCCUACACUCCUUUGCAUCUUCCAUUCCAAAAUGUCCUCUAGUAUUAUGAAAUUCAACAAUUUGUAAAUUAAUUUUUCUUCUUUUUGCCAUAUCUGGUAUCAAUCUUCUCAUGCAAAAAUACAAUCCUUCUUUCACUUUUCCACCAUCACAACAUCUAAAGUUAGGUUCAUAGUGGAAAUGGGGGUUCAGAAAAUAGGCAGCUGCAUGCAAAUGCCUAUGAAGUUGAUUAUCCCAUCAAGCAUCAAUUAUUCUUCAAACCUCUUCAUAACUACAUCAAUUAUGCUAUAUCAGAAACAAUUUCACACAUAAGUAAUUAAAUGUUGAAUAAGUAAAACUUUGAAAAUUUACCUUUUUUUGAUAUUGUUAAAGUUAGACCUAAUCUUCUCUUUUGCACAAUCCAUCUCUUCAUAAAUGAAACCCAUUACGGAUUUUACAACUGAGUCUACUAAUCUUAAAACCACCAUAAGAGGGGCAACAGAUUUCAGGCAUGUGGAGACAUUCUUCCAGAACCGGCUAUCUAAUACCACAUAUUCUACUUUUCUGCCCUCUUGUGAAGUUCCAAACUUGUUUGUCUUCCACUCUUUCGAGUUAAACAUGGUCAACAAUGAUGCCUUCAAUUCAUGAAGACAAGCAAGAGUUAAAUAAGAUGUGGUAAAUCUAGUCACACCCAGUCUUAUCAAGUCUCUACCUUUAAUGAACUUUUUCAACAAGGAAAUCAACAUUGAUCUUCCAUAAAUGUAAGUGGUAAUCUUUCUUCCCUUCUUAAUUGUCAAAUUCCUAGACCUUUAAAUUUUUUUCAAAAUCUUCAAAUAUCAAAUCAAUGCAAUGUGCUGCGCAUGGAGUCCAAUACAAUCUUUCCAUCUUUUGCAUCAACAACUCUCUAGCUGCCUUGAAAUUUGCAGCAUUAUCAGUGACAACUUGAACAACAUUUUCUUCUCCAACAAACUCAACAACAUCACUUAACAUUUUGAAAACUUUAUUAGUUUUUUUUGGUAUGUCUCAAGUGUCAAGUGAAUAAAGAAAAAUUGUCCCUUUAGGACUAUUCACCAAGAAGUUACGAAUAGAACAUCUCUUUCUAUUUGUCCAACCAUCAAACAUAAUUGUACAUCCAGUUGUCUUCCACUCCUCCUUAUAACCCUCAAGGAUUUCAUCUGUUUUAUUCACAACUUGUUUCAAUAGCUUUUCUCUAAUGUCAUGAUAAGAUGGUGGUUUGUAUCCAACUUCAUACUCACCAAUCAUUUCAUACAUCUUUGCAAAUGUUAGAUUUCUAAUUACAUUAAAAGGAAUGACACUGGUGUAAAAGAAUUCAGCCACUUGAGCAUCAACUUCUUCUUUGUAUCCUUUUUUCAUCAUUUGAUUUACAGUUGCUUGGACUCCCCCCUUGCUAGUAGUAGCAACUUUUUUGUUUUCCUUUAAAACCGAAUAUCCUCCUUCAAAACUCUCACUUUCUUCCUCGUCUUCAUCGGUAUUUAUCUUUUUUUUCUUUAAUGAUGCAUUCUUGGCUUCAACAACUAUUUUUAUCAUUAAAUUGUUUAUUUAAUCUGAAACAGAACCACAAGGUUCAGAAUCCUCCCUUGUUCCAGCAAGAUGAUGUUUAAAUCUAAAUAUACCUCCACUCAUAAUCUUUGAACAAUAGUUACAUUUCACUUAUCUUCCAUUACCGUUAACAUUAAACUCAUAUUUCCAUCCAAUAUCAAAUCGAUAUCCCGAAACAUUUUUAUUUUUACUCUUACUGGAUGAAGAUGUAGUUACAUUAAUCUCCAUUGAAUUUAAUACAUUUCCAGACAUAAUGCUCUAAACUUUUUCACUAAAAAAUCAAUGGUAAGAAGAAUAAUUUAAUAUUAAAUAUUUUCUUCUACAUGCUAAAAUAAUUAAAAAAAUACUACAUAUGCGUAGUAAUUUUUAUUAUAAUAUCAAGACUUUAUUUAUAUAAUAAAAUAAUUUAUGAUAAAAACAUAAAGUGACAUUAUAAUGGUCACAAUUUGAUUAUAUAUAUCUUAAUACUCACGGUUUUCACUAUAAAAUCAUACAUAAUUUGUAUAACAAAAAUAUAUUAUAAUAAAAGUACACAAAAUCAGAACACCAUCAAUAUAAUAAACUGUUAUAUCUUUAAUGCUCACGGUUUUCAUUAUAAACUCAGACAUCAUAAAAUCAGGACACCAUUAAUAUAAUAAAAUAUUAUAAUAAAACUACACACAAUGACAUAAACGUCUAUAAUAAAAUAUUCAAGACUUUCAUCUCUUUAUUGAAAUUUAAUCAUGUCACAGACUUUAUUAUAAUAAACAGUGGCUCACAUCAAAUCACUUUCUUUAAUCAAAUUAAAAAUAUAUAAUUUUAUAGUAAAAUUUUUUAGCCCAGCUCAUGGCUUUUGAGUGAUAACUUAUAAUCACAUCUAAAAGCAAGCAUAACUCCAGUAAAAGCAUAACUCCGUAACUCCAGAAGGCUUUUGAAAUGAAAUUUUUUUUACUCAUCACCACACACAGUGACGCCACACAACAACUACGAUAAGUUGACAAUCACGACGACGAUCACCAGCAAGACGGAUGCAACUGUGAGUAUGAAGUACACCGGAACACAACCAUGAGACCACGAUCGAAAAUGCUAUAAAUGGCGACCACGAAUGCAGACAACGUUGGAGUGAAGCACAACGAAGAACCUAAUCAGGUCAUUAUAUACUAACUUAAAGGAAAUUUUCUUUGUUUUAUUUAUCUUUUUUAAACUCGCCAAAUUAUGACAAAAUCACGAUUUUAUACGAUUUUAACGAAUUUGCUAUCGAGGCUAACGAGUUCACUAAGAAACAAAUUUAUUAUCGAAUUAACUCGGUCAGUAUGAAUAAGAACGCAAAUUCGUCGCGAGUUAAGUUAAAUUAACUCGCGAAUUUGAUAACUAUAGAUGUAACAAUUUAGUCUUGGAAAAAAAUGAGAUUGAAUUGCAUUAUAAGUAAACUAAAUAAUAGUUCACUAAACUGUACUACACUACAAAUGAUCUAAAAAAAAUUCAUUCAGUUCAACCAAACUAUUUUUUAAUUCAGUUUAGUUUAGUUUAGAUGAAUUAUUUUAUAAUUAACUACACAUUUUUAUACUACAAUGCACUUCAGUAUACUUUAUCCAUUCCUAAUUAGAGCACCAUGAAGAAAUAAAACACGAACACUUUUUUUCAUAUUUACAUAACAGAGUAGAGUAAAUACAUGAUCUGAAAAAAAAAAUCAUAAAGCGCAAACAUUUUUUCCCAGAAUAUACGGAUGAUGAACAUGGAAUUAUAAUGGUAAAAGAAGAAAUUAAUGUUUAUUAAAUAAAAAAAGUUAUACCAAAAGUCAAGUUGAUACUAGUUUCUAUCUGAACUCAGGUGACAAAUUUUGAAGUAAGAAGUCUUUUCUCAAAGGGAUAAAAAUGACACGAACAAGAACUAAAUUAUCUCAAUGAGAUGAGAGUCAUUCGUUACUGAAAAAAGUUCAUUUAGAAGAACACUGAAACAACCAUGUUGAUCCAUCUUUCCACAACACAACAUUAAAAAACAUAAUCUCUGCAACAGUUUCUUAACAAACUUAAUCUAAGACUCAUUAUUGAAGGUGAAGAUGGUCAAGUUGACAUCAUUAUGUGCGAUGAGUCGACCACCGACAUUACCACCAAAUGCAGAACCAUGACGGGUGGAGAGAAUGAGCCCAAAGGAAAAGGAAGGCGGAGGGAUGAGUUCCAAGAGAGGGGUGUCUUGGUUGUGAUAUAAGUAGGAGCCAGUAAGAGAAACUAUGUUGAAUGGCCCAUAAAACCUUACAUCAGGGUUGUCACCAAGGGUUACCGAGGCAAUGGUACCAGAGGCACUUUGAAUAGUGAGACUGGUGUGAUUUUUCCGACCAACAUCAAGAAUGGAUUCAAUGAUGUCACAUCCAGAAGCUACCUUUACGAUGAUAAGCCUCACCAUAGAGGAUUCAGAAUCUGAGUUACGAAAGAGGAUGUUUUGGAGGGGAAAGUCUACCAUUGUAGAAGAAAAAAGGAUAUGGAUAGAGAACAAAGGUAGAUGAAAUGCUUUUGACUGAGAAUCUUAGAUGGAGAAAGACGAAAGAGCUUGUGAAUGAAUUUAUAGUUUGGAAAUGAUGGUGAUUUCUCAACAAAAUGAAAAACUAUUUGGGAAACAAAAAAUCCACCGAUUUUUAGGAAAGGUUAAAAAGUAACAUUUGACGAAUAUAUAUUUACAUUAAUUUAACAUGUAAUAUAAAAAUAUAUAAAAUAAAAUGGUUAUAAAAAAUAAAAUUUAAUAAUUUAAAAAAAAAGAGUAAAAAGUGAAAAUAAUAAUAAUAUCAAAUGUAAAAAAUUUAUAUUUGUCAAAAAGUAUAUUUUUUUAAGAUUGCAUUUGAAAAAAUGAUGUAACAGUGAGUAUCCAUUUUUAAGAUAUAAUUUUCUUUAUAAAAAGUAAAUAAUUGUAGUUGAGGAUUAGCGAAAGAUUAUAACAUUUUAAUAAAAUGUUUCUCUAAUACUUUUCAAUUAAUUUAAUAAAAAAUAUUUGUUUUAGUGUAUUAUUUUUGUUUUGUUUUUUUUGUUUAGUGAUAUGAAAGUCAGACUGACUUUAUCUCUUGAAAAAAAAUAUAUAUUAAUUGGUCUGAUUAUUUUAACCAAGUUGGUAAUUUGGAAUUCAGAAUAUAGGUAUUUGGUUCUAUUUUAUAUUGAAAUAAUUUUGAUGUUUGUAGUCAAUAUAAUUAUUUAGGAGGAAUAGCAUCUACAUUUUAAUAUGUAUAUAUUUUGUUCAUGGGUUAAUUAUACUUUUAAUUUUAUACUUUAACAUUUGAAUCCUCAACAUAAAAAAUCUAUAACAAUAUGUAAUAUAAUGUUAUUAUUUAAUGUAAAUAAUUUCUUUACUGAUUUUACUUUUAAUAAUAUUUCUAAGUUAUAAUGAAAAAUCUGAUAUAACAAAUAAAAUAAAAUGAAAUGUAAUAAAGAAAAAAUAAUGGAAAAAACUAAUAGAUAGAAACUCGCACUUAAAAUUAAAUUGUGUAUCUAUUUUUUAUAAUUAUUUUUUUAUUAUAACAAAACUUUGAUAUGAUAUAUAAUAUAUAAUAUAUGAUAACUUUUUUUUCAAACAUUCAUUAUAUUAAGAUAUUAGAUUGAUAUUUAAAAAAACUGUACAUUUUGUAUUUAAUAUACUUUCAUAUUUAAUGCUCAUUAUAUAUUUAAUACUUUCAUAAUUAAUGUCCAUUAUAUUUUAUUCUGUAUUUAUGAUUUAUAAAAUAUAAUAUAAUAUGACAUUAAAUAUUUUGUUCUGUAUUUAAUAUUUUCAUACUUUUUUCCCUGUAUUAUUUUAGCUCUUAAUCACUACAUGGUAAUAUAAUAAGAAAUCAAACACUUUCUUCUAAUGCUCAUUGAAUUUUAUUGUUUUUAUUUGUAAUAAUUUAUUAUAAAAUAUUAAUUGCUGCAUAUUUAAUGUGUGUAGGCCCACUAAAAUAUUACCCCAACUGUUUUUCUUAAAUUUUCUAUUCUUUUUCAGGUUGAAAAACUGUAUACUCUUAUAUCUUGAGUAUAUAUCUUUAGCUUAAUUAAUAAUUUUGUCCUUAUAUAUAUAAAAAUAUAAUUCACUUUACUUUUUAUAUAUAUAAACUCAAUGGCGAAGAAAAAAGAGUAUAUUGUUAUGCUCUUCUUAGUCAGGAAUACAAAAUCUAGAAUCUCAUGGUUCUUUAAAUAGUGUUAGAGGCGUGCCAAAAUAGAAUUUGGUCCAAAAGAGUUAAAACAGAGCAAAAACUAGGCCGGAUCAGCAAAACUCGAUGAUUGGGCGGCCUAGGAGCGUGCCCGGGCAGUGAACGAACCUCAUGUAAGGCUUGGGCCUUCAAUUAGACUCCUAAGCUUCGAGCCACGCCACUGGGGCGGCCAAAAUGGGCGCCCGGACGGCCAACGUCGAUUUCUGGCACUGAAAAACUACAUUCUGGUUGACUUUUCUACAUUUUGGUUGACUGAUUGACUUUUUUGGUUGACUGAUUGACUUUUCUGCAUUCAACUUUGACUUUUCAACACUACAAUUUGUUACCAAUAAGGAGUAUUGGUAAAUCUUGAAGAAUUGUUUUGAUGAUGCUGCAAGAAGUGUUAUUUGAAGAGGACAUUAGAAUUAUUUAAAAAGCAACUUGUAGAAAUUGAAUGUAGUAGGAAAGUCUUAAAUAAAUUGUAAACCUUGCAUUUUCUACUGGAAUAAUCGAUUAUGAACAAGUAACAAUCGAUUAUCACUUGUAUUUUGUACUAGAAUAAUCGAUUAUGGACAAGCAAUAAUCAAUUAUCACAAGUCCUUAAGGAAUAAUCGAUUAUCAUUUGAUAUAAUCGAUUAUCACAUUUUUGAAAAACCUAUAACGGACUGAAAUAAUCGAUUAUCACUUACAAUAAUCGAUUAUUCGUGGCAGUUGGGACUUGACCUUUGAUAUUCAGAGCAGGUGGUUAUAUAUAGGGUUUCUAAGAAAUUCAAAUGCAACGUUCUUGAACUGAAAGCUCAGAAGAAUACUGUUUGUCAGAGGAAGUUCUCAGUAGCUUGUUCAAAGUUCCCUUGCUUGGUCUCGUGAAUAGGAGAGGCUCGUGUAUCGUGUGUCGAUAGUCGGAGCAGGCUCUCUUCGAGUUAGCAAGGUGCUCUGCCUGGUCUCGUGAAUAGGAGAAGCUCGCGAAUCGUUGGUCGAUUGCCGGAGCGGUUCUCUUCGAGUUGGCUGAGUGUCAUUCUUCCGGUUCGUUCGUCGAAGGAAGGUUUAUUUUUAUCAAUUCUCAUUCACUGUCUAUUGUAAUCUGUGAAAUAUUUUUAGUGGAACUGUUAAUCACUCUUUACAGUGAUUAACGACUGGACGUAGAUUUUUGUUGAAUCGAACCGGUAUAAAAAUACUUGUGUGAUUUUUCUACUCCCUGCACUUGUUACUUUUGUCUGCACACAAACUGUUCGAUAAAUUUUCUGAAAGAAAUUUUUUUUUCGAAAAAGGACCAACUUCUUUUAAAAAGGUGACCAAACAUGCUUUCCGCUUACUCUAAGUUUAAUUCCACUGCGCUAUACUCUUCAAACCAUACCUCGCUGGAACCAACACAAUUGUUUGGUACUUUAACUCUUCCUUCAAAUCAUUCCAAUAUCCUUCAAAAUCAAGGGAAUUUGUCAAAAUAUCAUUAAGUUCCACCUCAACUCUCUUAUUUAUAAAAUUAAAGCAAAAACAUGAGUUAAAGCAAGUUUCUAAGUCAAAAAGGGUGCAUUUAGUAUCAAAAUUACAUCACAGAUAACGGUAUUUUAAACCGUUAUCACUUUCCUAGAUUGACCUUGCCCCAUGCUUGGAUGAGGUUUCCAUCCCUGAUUGUAAUUAUUGGGACGAAACUGGUUACCCGUGUAUUUAACCACUUCAUUAAUAUUCUCGAGCAUUGCACAUUGACCAUUAAUAUGAUCACCACCACAUAAAAUGAUGAGGGCCAACAACUGUUGCAUAAUCCGCCAAAGUACGUUUAACACCAUUGUUGUCCAUGCUUUCCUGAUUAGAUUGAGAAGUGUGUGAAAGUUUCUCUAGAGAAGGUUCUCUGGAUGUCUUGUUUCUUCUUGUCCUUCUACUGUUCUCCAAUCCUGUGAGAAGAGGUUCAGAAAUUUGUCUGCAUUGAGUUCGAAUAGUAUCUUGCAUAAACUAGACACAAAACCCUAGAAAAUAUUGUUAGCACAAAAACAAAACAAAAAACAAGAUAAAACAAAAUAAAAAUUAAGUCAAAGUUAAUCAAGAAUCACACAAAUAGAAUAGUUUAAACUGUUAGUCCUCAACAACAAUGCCAAAAUCUUGUUGAGAUACUGACAAGUGUACCAAAUCGUACAAGUAAUAUAAAAUGGUAAGACCAAGUAUCGUGUCCCAAGACACUCUUGGCACUAGACAGUCGUGUGAUAACUCGAUUAAUUAAGACUUAAAAGAACGAGAUUAUUGGUUUCGAAUGCAAAUACAGAAAAUUAAAUAUAAAUGCAGUGUUGAUCAACUGUAGAGUAGCACAAUGAUGAACGAAUGAUGUUUGUAAUAUGAGAUGAAUAUGUUGUUGGGGUUAGAUUUCACCAAGUUCACUAUCAUGUAUGUAAGAAUUCUCCUUUUUUUCAUUAAUGUCAACGUCACUCGCUAAUUUACUUAAAAUCCAAUGUCUAGGCGAAGAAAGCCUAUCCUUAAUUACUAGUUUACGAUGUUUUGUCUCCCUAGCAAUUAAUUAUGCAUUAAGAUUAGGAGCUUAAGACAACAAAGACUCAUACACCCAUCCUUGAGAAGUACUGCUCUUAGGGAUAAUUCUACAAGAACAUGAAUUGUAAGGAACCUGUCGGUACUCAUGCAAUUCAUACAUCAUGCUAUAAAUGAGUUAAACAAAGCAAGCAUUGAUCACAGAAGAAUUACCCUAACAAUUAACGAAAGAAACAUAUAUUACAUGAGAGUUCACAAGGUUACAUCAUCCCCCAACAACAAAUAGAAGUUAGUUCACCAUAGACAUGGUGAAACUUGAUGAACAAUGGAGAAGAAUGAGAGAGAAAAACCCUAAAAGUUGAAGAUGGAAGCUCUCGCAUCCAAAUCCGCCUUUAGAGAAUGGAAGAGUAUGAUGUUGUGCCUCCUCUGCCAAAGAUACAAAGCCUAAGACGUUUGGGUCCUUUAAAUAGAGUGAAAUCAAAACAGAAUCAAAGCCCAAGCACAUGUUGUUAGCACUCAACGCCCCACUUAGGGCACCUGGGCGAGCUGCGGUACUAAAACUGGCGCUAAGCUCCACUCAGAGGGCAAGCAAGUGUGGUACUUCAGGAAAAGUGGCGCUCAGCGCCCCAAAUAGGGCGCCCAAGGGCGUGGUGCAACAACUUUUGGCGUUGAGGGCUCCAAAAAGGGUGCUCAAGCUUCGUGCAUUCUUCCUUUCUGGUGUUUUUCCAAGCCUUUCUGAGCUCCAUCUCCUUGGCACUUCAACUCUACUUUCCAUAUUAUCUCAUUUCUUGCCAAAACAAGGGAAUUUAGUCAUAAAAUCACCAAGUUCAACCUCAACUCUCUUAUUCACACAACUUAAUAGGAAAAACAUGAUUUCAACAAGAUUAUAAGUAGAAAAUGGUGCAUUUAGUAUCAAAAUCACAUCACAAAUAAUGGUAUUUUCAACCGUUAUCAGUAUUCUGUUUCUAUAUUGAUCGAGAGUUUUGGAGGUGUUUGCAUUUGAGUGUGCUUUGUAAAGCCUUGGUUGUAAUACUUUAAUCAUUAUAGUGAAUUAUUCUCCAAUCUAAGGUUGAUUAGGAAAGUCACUGGAUGUAGGCAUUGAGGCUGAACCAGUAUAAAAACUGUGUUUGAUAUUAUUAUCAUGUAUCAUAAAAUUUUCUUAUGUGGAUCGUAGGUGUUGGUGAAGAUGAUAAUUUCAUUAAGUUUUGUGUCCACUAAUAAGCAUGCGUGAGUGUGUGGGAGAAUAAGUUUCCUAACCUAUUCUAAUGAAAUGGAUGGUGAAAGAAUCGAUCACCUAACCAAUUUAUGCGUGUGUAUUGCAUGGAGUGGAGAAUGGGUCAGUAAAUUUACUUUUAUGUGAGUGUGAGAAUUAGAGAAUCGACUAUGUUGUAUGUAUGAUGUUCUGAUGAGAGUGGAUCAUGAUAAGUUAAUUAUUGUAGAAAUAAUAAUAAUUAAUAUCUAAAUAUUUAAUUUUUUAUUACUAUAAUUAAUUAAUUUUUUUUAAAUUAAAUAUUUUUCUCUUAUCCAAAACUCAUUUCAUAUCACUUUUCAUAUCAAGGACAAUUUUAUAAUUUUCAUUUCUAUUGUUAAAACUUUUUUGUAUGUAUCAUAUUAAUAAAAUCACACAAACUUUCAUAAAUGUUAUUUUAUUUUAUUUAAUGAUACUUUGAUAUAUAAAUUUUCACAUUCAUUUGAUAUUAUUUUUUCUUACUUUUUAUUUUUAUUUUCUUUUAAAUAUAAAAAAAUUAUUUAUGACCAUUUUAUUCUUGUAUUGUAUAUCAAACAAAUAUAAAAAUAUGUAUUAUUAGUCUUUUUGAAAAUCAACUCAAAAAUAACACAACUUUACUUUCAAAAUUUUCAAAUUUAUCUGCUCACUCUUUCUCAAAUCUAUCAUCUAAAAAGAACACACUCUUAAUUAAUGUUAAAUUUAGUCCCAAAUCAACGAGCUUUGUUAUCUACUCGUACUCGUAGAUGAUUUUUACCUGAUAAUAACGGUGAAAAUGUAUCAAAGUAUCUAAAGAUGGGAUUAAUGAGUGAGUUGCAGAGGAUUGCCAAGACUUUCCACGGUCAAAAAAUAUUAUCUCUUUCUCCCUAAUUUCUAAUCUUUCUGACUAAAAAUAGAAUACACACAUAACCAGCAAAAUGAAGGAAAUUUCAUAGCUGAUUAUAAUGAGUUAAGUGCAAUUAAGAGAGCGGCAACGCACCUGACACCCCUCGAAGAUGGUAACAUACUAUGAAUCAAAAUGCUUUAAGUAUUGGUGACUUAAGUGGAUUUGAGGAGUGUAAUGGAGAGGAUUUGAGAAGAUUUGAUGAUAAACUUUUUGUUGCUUAUUUGAAUAGAUUUGGAGGUAAGUGAGAGUGAAUUUGGAAAUAAAUUUUUUUAAGCUGUCACAUAAAUUAAAUAAUACACUAAUUCUCAUAAAUUUUACUUCCAAAUCUGUUCUCACUUUAACUCCAAAUCUAUUCAAAUAAACAACAAAAAAAUUACCUUCAAAUCCUCUCAAAUCUUUUCUAUUAUUCUUCUCCAAAUCUACUCAAGUGAACAGGAUCUUAAAGAAACAUACCACCACACAAACAUCAAAACGUACCAAGAUAAAAACCCUAAAUCAAAUAUUUUUUUGGUUAAACUUACCAAUCGGUGGACAAAUUCAAGAUGAAAUGCGAGAUUGACACAACUGAAAAAGGGAAUAAGGUUUGAGAAAGAGAAGUCGAAAUUGGGAAUAAGGUUUGGGAAUGUAACAAGGCCACUGAGCUUUCACUCAUCUAAUUAAAAACUUUGAGGGAAUUCAAACCCCGGGAAAAUUCAGUGCUUGUGUCGGUUCUCCAACAUUAAUAAAAUUAUGGUUAAAAUUGUACAUUUUAUAUGUAAAAUAUGGAGGUUCCAAAAAUGUCAUAUUUUACUAUAAAAAAUGAGAAUUUUAUAAUACUCAGUAUUAAAACUUCUAUAAUUUACAAAAUUCUUUUGUAGUGAUAGUUUAUUGAUAACAAAUACAUUUUAUUUGUCUUACUCCAAAAGUAAGAUGUAUUUUCAAGAAUAUUCAAUAGGGUCCCGUUAUUUUGACACCCACUUUUUGACACAUAUUUGACACUGCCACGUGUCAACGUCUUAUUGGGUCGCUUUAUUUUACUUUUUUUUUUAAAUUUGGCUUGCAAAAUGGAAAGCUUUCCAGAAAAUUUGUAUUACAAUUAUACCCCUUUGCUUUUUCAUUGGUUUUGUGUGACANGGAGCUUGCCCCACCGCUCGGUUUAGGACGAGAGUGAGAGUUCACGGGGAGCUUGCCCCACCGCUCGGUUUAGGACGAGAGUGAGAGUUCACGGGGAGCUUGCCCCACUGCUCGGUUUAGGACGAGAGUGAGAGUUCACGGGGAGCUUGCCCCACUGCUCGGUUUAGGACGAGAGUGGGAGUUCACGAGGAGCGUGCCCCACCACUCGGUUUAGGACGAGAGUGGGAGUUCACGAGGAGCUUGCCCCACCGCUCGGUUUAGGACGAGAGUGGGAGUUCACGAGGAGCUUGCCCCACCGCUCGGUUUAGAACGAGAGUGGGAGUUCACGAGGAGCUUGCCCCACCGCACCGUUUAGGACGAGAGUGAGAGUUCAUGAGGAACUUGCCCCACCGCUCGGUUUAGGACGAGAGUAAGAGUUCACGAGGAGCGUGCCCCAUCGCUCGGUGUAGGACGAGAGUGGGAGUUCACGAGGAGCUUGCCCCACUACUCGGUUUUGAAACUUUUCCAUGUGCAAGAUAUUUUCACUCCAAAAGAUAUGAUUUAAAUAAAAUAUUCAUUUUUAUAAUGAGAUAAUGUUAGAACCUGAUAAUGUUUAAUGUUGGUCUGAACCUUCCUGCACGUAAUACUUUUACUCACAAAAAUAUGAGUUAAAUAAAAUAUUUUUUUUUAUAAUGAUAUAGUGUUAGAACCUGGUAAGGUUGAACGUUGGUCUGAACCUUCCUGCAUGUAAUAUUUUUCCUCACAAAAAUAUGAGUUAAAUAAAAUAUUUAUUUUUAUAGUAAGAUAACAUUAGAACCUGAUAGUUUUAGUCAAAAAAAUAUGAGUUAAACAAAAUUAUAAUAAAACUUAUAACUUAUAAAUUAUAAUAAAGUUUUUUGAUCUUGUUGCGAAACCCGGUAUUAAUCCGAAGUAGCGAUGUCGAGACCGAGGGCGCAUCUGGUUCCUUGUGGUUUCAUCGGAAUGCCCCUCGGCCCUACGGUGGGCGCCAAAAUGUUUCGGCGGGAUUUGGUUCGAGGGUCGGUUGACCUUUCUUCUCUGCUCUCUCUGGGUCGUUUUAAUCCUUUUUGAGAACACAAUCCUCCGAUGGACCUCCAAAAGACACUCCGACGCUCAAGUCAGAUAUGUUGGAUAUAGAGGUCUACAUAUUUUAUUUUAUUUAGGAUAACUUAAGGUUCUCUUAAGUGGUAUACUUAUAAGGCUUGUGGUAGCUAAGCACAUUGAUUAAUCAUUAAACCACACAAUCAAAUUAAAUAAUACAUGUUAAUUGUCCAUUAAUAUCAGAUUUUGGUGCAAUAUGACCUGUUAAUCAAUCAUAAAUAACAUAUACUCACAUUUAAUAUGACCAUUAAACAUAUUAAUUGAUCAUUAAUGAUUUUUAUCUUUCCUGAUUGGUGUUUAUGUAACCAUCGAUCGGUUGCCUGUUUUGCCUCCAGAAUCUUCUUAAUCAAUCGGUCAUUGGGAUAUAGUACAUAUAUAUUUGGCGUAAGAUUGCCUUCCAUAUUUGUAGAAUUCUUGGACAUUAUGUGAGAUUGUUAAGUCUUUGCACAAAGUAAAAUAAUUUUAAUUAGUACAUAUAAAAUAGAAAAAUUCAUAAAAUAUUUUGAAUCAAUUAAAUUAUUAUCGAUUUCUAAUCACUUUUAAUAUGAGUAAGAGCAAUAGUUGUUAUUUAUUACAUAAUAUAAUAAUCAUACUAAAAUGAACCGACUUGUUUAUAUCAUACCAUAAUUGGACCAAAAUAACGAACUUUGAAGAACAACCAUGAUAGCUUUUCAAUAGGAGUUGAUUUGUCUGUCAACAUGUUAUGUUCAAUAAAUACACUAUGAGAAAGGAAAUUAAUUAGAAUACGUUUAUAUAAGAAUCGGAAGCUUAAAAGCUAGGAACUGCAACAAUGGGAGCAAGAUUAUAGCAGUGCAAAACGAGUUUUAGAAGAACAGAACACAUGUUACAAUUAUGCCACCUGAAUGACAAACCUAGACACGAGUGACAACACUACAUGUGUGUUAGAAAGAAUAUAACAAGCCUUAAUGAAAAACAGAAAAAAAAAAAAGCUUCAAUGAAAAACAGAAGAAAAGAAACACAAGGGACGAGAGAACGAACCUCACGAGUUAACGGGCAAUAUGAAGAAGAAGAGAAAGUGAGUUUUGUGGUUGUGUGAUGCAAUCCUUUAGUGUGUAAUGUAUGUAAAUUUUCAUAGAUAUAAGUUUAGGUUUUGUAUAAAAUCUAAACCUAUACUUUGUCAUUUAGGUAAAUCAUUUUAAAAGAAGAUUGUAUUUUUGAAAUUUUUGACAAACUAUAAACACUAACUAUGAAAUAACUGAAGUUCAUUCUCUCACUAUUUGAGUAUAAGUUUCAUUUAUCGAAAUCUAUAUUCAAAAAGUUAAACUAAGUGAAAACUAUACAUAAACACUAAGAAUAAUAUGUGAUUAUAGUUUGCUUAAAAAAAUUAAAAAUUGUCACCAUAUUUUAAAAAAAAGUUAUUUUUCUUAAAAUCGUAACAUGUUAGAUGAAAUUAAAUGUUGUUUUUAUACUACUAAGACAAGAGAGAACAAAAUCACAUAGUGAUGAUGAUGAAAAGUUUACAUUAAUUAGUGUAAAGUUGAAUCGUAUGCAAGGUAUCAUUAGUCUUAACAUUGAAGAUAGAAGAAAAAAGUUUGAAGUUGAAUGUGAGCAUCUCAAAAUAUGGCACCCAUUUGGUAAUAUUAUGAUAAAAUGCUUUAUAGUUGGAGCCUAUACAACCCUUCCAAGUGUGAGGCGCAUCAACCGAAGUUCAGGAGGACUCCACACAAAAAAUUUAUUAAAAAAAUGUUAUGAUCAUUAUAAUAAAAAAAAAUGUAUUCAAUUUUUAAUCAUUAUGGUUUUAACUGUGAGAUUAUGCUAAUAAAAGACAUAUCAAAUGAAUAUUGAAGUGUAAAUUUUGGAGUGCAAUGUAUAUUUCAAAAGAUAAAUACAAAUAUGUUUACUGAAAUCAUCAAUAAUUGAAAAUAAAUCAUCAAUACAAAUAAGAAAAUAAUUGAUAAGAUAUUACAACAAAAAGGUUUCAAGGAUUUCUAUGAACUAAUUUAGAAGGAUGUCAAGUCUUACCAUUAUUAUUAUUAUUAAAGAGAAGUUAAACUUGCUUGACCAAAUUAUGUGAGCCAGAAACUAAAUUUUAUUUUAUUUAAGGGAAAUAGUUACAUGUUUAGCUACUAAAGGUGAAGGUUGACCAAGCUUAUGGUGCAAAACAUUAAAGGUAUUAGAAACAAUAUUAGUGUGGACCUGUUCAGUAAAACAAAGAGAAAAAAAAAAUUAAAAUAUAAAAAUACUAAGAAACAUAUUGACGAGGAAAAUAUAUAAGUCCAAUUUGGCUUCUCUGGAUUUUUUUUUUCUUUUUUCUUUGUAUGCAUUUAAACUAAGAUAAUUCACACUAAUUUUGAUAUUUUAUUUAUUUUUGAGAAUUUAGAUUAUCAUUUCAAUUUUUCCACCAUAAUAAUCCUUCAAUCUAACGUUACUGAUAUUUAUUAUUAAAUCUAAAACCUUCCUCAAAUAAAAUUACAUCCUAAUAUAAAGACAACAAGCCAAUUAGAUAAGAACCUAAUAUAUAAAGGUGAUUUAUCUUAGUAAAAAUCUAUCUCGAAUUAUCAACACAUUAUUGAGUUACUUUAAUCACGUAGUUGACUUGAGCAUUUUCACCACAUGACAACACCAAAAAUUCAGUAGAGAAUUUGGAUUCGUAUAAAUUAUUGUCAACUUCAAUAAUUUCAAUAAAAAUUUAAUUUAAUUUAAUUAAUAAUUUAAUCUAUAUAUUUAAUUUUAUUAUUUAUUUUAUUUUAUAUACAUUUUUAUUCAUUUGAAUGUUAAAAUUUGAUAAACAAAGUUAAUUUGGUCAAUUCCAUUAAAUUGGUGCUAAACUAUUUAGAAGUGUAACGUGUUAAAAUAUAAACUUCUAUCUUUGAAACCCUUUUAAUUUUUCUUUUGUUUUUUUCUUUCUCUGUUCAACUUCUUUCACCUUCCUCCACGUUGUUCCACAUCCCUCUACCUCCCACCAUUUUUUAAGUUGAAAAGUUUUGAUUCUUUUUAUUUUCUCAAGUUAUUAUUACAUUUUGAGUGAGGAAUAUUUAGAAUUUUGAAUUGGAAAAAAAGUACCUGUGAUGCCAUGACGUUUUAUUUAUUUAUUGUAUUUUUUUAUUUAAUUGAAUUUCAAUAUUUGAUAAAUAAAUUCACUUUAGUUUGUUCCAUUAAAUUGGUGUUAACACUAUUCGAAAGCCGUGUUAAAAUAUAGAUAAUCUUGUAUAUUGGAACCCCCCUCUUAUUGUUUUGUUCGUUUUUUAUUCCUCCACCUUCUCCCACCUUAUACGUUGCAAAUUUUGCUUUUUUUUUUUUCUAAGUUAAUUAUUGGGUGAAAGAUUUCAAGUAAGAAAUAUUCAAGACUUUAAUUUGAAAAAAAAAAUCUUGUGAUACAAUGAUGUUUGGGUGUUGCUCUCUCCACCUUCUCAAGUGAGUCCUGCACCUCCCCACUAUUUUAAUUUAUUUCAAAAAUAUUCUACAUAUCUCCAUUAUUUUCUUUUAUUCCAAAAAUACCAUACACCUCCCCACUAUCUUCAACACUCUUUUCCUUUCUCUCUACAGCAUUCACAUGGUUCAGAUUUGAAUUUGUGAUAUAUUACAAAAUAUAAAAUUCAGAGAAAACUUGUAUUUCUACCAUUUCCAUUUUAUAAAAUUAAAAGUUAAAUGCAAAUACAAAAUAAUAAACAUAAUAAUAUUAAUAGUAAAUAAUGAUAUAUUAUUAUUAUUAUUAUAUACUAACUUUAUGAUGACGAAAAAACUAAAUAAAUUUUAAAUCUUUAAUAAAUAACUUUUUUUUUAUAUUUUAAGUAUUUAAUAAUAUUUUUAUAUUAUAUAUGUAAUAAAUUAAAUAUUUUAUUCAAGUUAUUUGAGUCAAACAUAUAGGUGAGUUAAAACAUAAUAUAAUGUUAAAAAUUAUAGAUAUUAUAUGUAAAAAGAACACACACAUAUAUAUAAACAUUUUUCUAAAAAUUUAAAACAAAUAUAUUCUAAGAGCCAAAAUAAGAUUGAAUCAAAACUUAUUUAAGAAAAUAUAUCACAAGUUUAAAUGUAAAUGCUCCAUUAAUAAGUCAUGUAAAUGUUUCAUUAAUGUAGAGAGAGAAAGAUUAUUAAGGAUAGUGGGGAAAUAUAAGGUAUUUUUAGAAUAAAAGAAAACAAUAAGAAAGUAUAAAAUAUUUUUGAAAUAAAUUAAAAUAGUGAAGAAGUGUAGAAUCCACUUGGAAAAAUGGAGGACCUUAUAUUUUUUCUAUUCAAUUAAGUCUCAAUAUUUUAUGAAUAAAGUCAAUUUGUUUCUAAGUGUUGAAAUCUAAGUAUUUUUUUUUUCUCUCUCCACCUUCUCUCAACUUCCUCCAACUCCCACCACAUUUUAUAUUGAAAUUUUUUGUUUCUUUUUUAUUUUGUAGAGGUAAUUCUUACAUGGGGUGAGAGAUUUCGUGUGAGGAUUAUUUAAGACUUCGAAUUGAAAAAAGUGUCCUUUGAUGGGAUGGUGUUUUAUUAUCUAGAAAUAGUGCAAAACGAAUAUACAAUGAAAGACAGAGUAUGCUGGAAAGAGAUUAAAAAAGGUAAAGGAAGAAAACAAAAAUCAGAGGGGUUUCAAUGUUAAUACUAAUUUAAGAAAAAAAAAUACUAAAUUAAUCCUAUUUAAUAAAUAUUGAAACUUAAUUGAGUAAAAAUUGUAAGACCAAAGUAAAUAUUGGAAACAAAUUAUUAAUUAAACUAUUUUCUUUUUCAGGUGAAUGUCUUGAACUAACAAAGGAAAAAAAAUAUUUUUUAAAUAUAAAUAGUAUGAAAUAUUAUAGGAAGAGUUUAAAAUAAAUUCAAUUUGAUCUAACAAAUUCACUUUAAGUCUAAUCCAAUUAAUAUAUGAAAUAAGUUAGGAGAAUAAAAUAUUUUUAAAAUGAAUUAAUCUAUUUAUCAUAUCAACUCAUUAUAUGUCAAUCAGAGUUAUGAAAUUUUUUCCUCAACAAAAUUAAAUUGAAUUGACUUGUAUAAGUUUAAGUCUAUGAUAAGCCACUUAAAUAAAUUGGCUUAACUUAGAUAUUCUUAAUUACAAAAGUUCACAAUUUUGUUUAAUUUAUUUUUCGUUAAAUACUCAUUUUAAUCAAAUGUGCAAUUUGAAUUUAAAUUUAAUAAAACACUUAAAUCAAACCUCCAAUGUUUUGUGAACCUAUUUUUGUAUUUUUUUUUUGUCAAAUUGUUAAGCAUUUUCUCACAAAAAAACACGUAUUAAACAUUUUAUAAUAAAAAAUUAACAAAACAAAGAAAAAAGAAGAGAGAAACAUGUUAUGAUUUAUUUUUGUAUGAUUGUUGUUAUAUUUAUGAUUUCAAUUUUUUUCCACAUUUUAUACAUAAAUUACAUAAUCUUAUAGUUAACAAAUUACAACACAAAUUUGCUAUUUUAUUUUAGAAAGCAUAGAUAUAUUGAAAGUAAAAUACAAUCAAAUUAACAAACUAAGAAAUUGGAAAAUUAGUCAUCUUGUCUUGUCUAAUUGCUCCAGUAAACCAUCUUUUUGAAGAAUUAAUGGUACAUUGAUGGAAGACCUUCCCCCACGUAUACGCCACUUAUCUUAGUUGCCCACUAGCUUCAUAUUAUUUAACAUAUAUUCUAUGAUUGAUUAAAACAUAUAAAAAAUCAUAAAAUAAAAAAGUCAAUAGAUAAAAAAUUAAAAUUUAUAAUAAAUUUAAUUCAAUAAUCAUAAAAUGUAAAAAGUAGGUGACAUUUCUAUUUCAACCAAUAGUUGUGGUCUACGAGUCUUUUUAAAUUGUAAGUGAUAGUUUACAUUCUAUUCUUAAUUGCUUUUAACGUGCAUCUUGUGAACUUUGUCAUUUUUCUACAAUUAGGAGUUCUGGUCUAGUCCAAAUUAGGCAUCACCCAAUCAACAUUAAAGUAAAAGCUCCCUCGAUUCAUGUCUAGAUUUUGACAACUUAGCAAAAUACAUAAAAUCCAAGAAUAAGGUUGUUGCAUAUGGAGUCCGGAAUUUCAAAGAAAUUUUAUAAUUUUUUAUAAAAUAGUUUAAAAAAUAUAAAAUUUUAUAAUUUUUUAAGAAAAAAGAAAGUAAAAAAUAAAUAAGAAUAAUGUUAAAUGAAUGUAAAAAAUUUAGGUGUGUUAAAAAAUAUUUUUCUUUUGACGAGAGAUUAUUGGCAACACAAAAUUGGUGAAAAAUGCAGACAUCAAUUUUUCUUGUGGCGUGUCAUGCCAAUCACUGACCAGUGCUGCAUUUAAACGCUCGUGUCUGCUACUCAAUGAAGAAGUUGUCCAUGCUCCAUGAUGGAUGUAUUUAGCUUGUACUUUAUCAUCAUCAUGCAAACCAAUCUCCCGUGCAAAUGAACCAGACUAUCAUUUAGACAAGACAGACCCAAAAUUAUAUAUAUUAAUGAACAAUGUCAAAAUUAAAUAGACCGAAAGGUUAACAUUAGUAUAAAGUUCAAUCAAUGGCGUAUAGUGCACCAUUAAUCUUAACAUUCAAGAUAAAAGACACUUUUUAAGUUAAUAGCUUCCAAAUGUCAGGGAUGGAUUGGAGAAUAAAUUAAUAGCUUCCAAAAGCACAAGGUUCCACCACUACUCCAGAGUCAAAAGGACUCGCGAAUCAGCUUCUUUCUCAGAAGAUACAAUCAGUUCUCCAAAGCAAUUUUGUCCAAGACACCUCAGAAACUAAGUUUUGAUAACCUCUUUCAACACAAACUCAAAUUAUUGUUGUCAUAUAACAAGAGACUAACCAAUGACUACUUUUGUUGUAUACCUAAACUCCAUUGGUUGCCUAACAAUACAUUCCAGCAACACCAAGUGAGAAUACAACUUCAAAGUUGGCCACAGAGGCUAAAGUUUUUCCCUUUGAAAACAAGAUUGACUAAAGUCAAUUUACAGAUGAUCUUGAUUUAAAAAUCGUUCUCUGUUUACUAAAUUUGUAAAAAACAAUUUAAACUGAUAAGUUUGAAAUUCCAUUCUUUGCAGCAUCUGAAUAACUUGCACAAUUGUGGAGCAUCAGAUACUGGUUUAUGUUGUAACAGCAGUAAGAACAGACUUCUCUUCAGGAUAGCAAAUUUCAAGCGAUCAUUUUGCUUAAAAGAAUAAAAAAAUUAAGGAGUCAACGAGAUAGAAGUGUUUCAUUUGAUGACACUUAAUUGCAUACCUGCGAUAAUAUAUUAUAUAAUAGAUGAACCAAAGUUAAAUAUGAAACUGAUUGCUUCAUCAUCCUCCACUGACAUGAUUGACUAUUCCUUCUCUGCUGAAAACUGAUUGCUUCAAUUAUCCCAACACAGCAUCCGCAAAUCAAAUUCUUUUCAAACUCAGACUCAACACGGCAACCAAAGACAACAGCUAAUGGAAAAAAUAAAACAAGCUCCAUUUUAUUCCAUCAGUUAAACACUCAAAAGCCAUCAGAGAAACAUUUUCAUGAUCAGGCAAAACUCAUCUCACCAGUUUAAUUCCUGAGACAAAAUAUUCAACAUCCAAAAUUAAUCUUCGCAAGCAGUAAAAAUGAAAAACAGACUGAGUCUAAUCUAUAUACAGAGCCUAAGUGAAACGUUUUCAACCAGAUUGACUCUGAAACAAAUCAAUGUGAACGUCACAGACUUCGCAAUGUGUGAUUAGUAUAAAAAUCCUUUACACUUAUAUACGAAAAAGGAUAUAAUAUUUAAUUACAAAUUACAGGUAUAUAAUACUUAUUCAUCAUUCAAAAUUGACGAGUAAGGCAGAAAGAGGAUGGGCACGGGGAUUAUUAUAAUCCAUAGCUGAACUGCAGUAAGCAUAUAGAAUGGCUUCAUAAAUCUAAAUUUUGUAAAUAAUUGUUAAUUUGUAACAAAGUUCAACAAUCUAGUUCUGCCUAUAAGCAAUGUAAUUGGCUAAAGCAACUAAAGGAGCAGCCUUGACAGGGUCAAAGCCAGAAAGCUGAUCCUGAGCAUCUUUGUUCAAUUUGGCAGCAAACUCCUUAGACUUCUCAAUCCCCAAAAGCUUGGGAUAAGUAACCUUAUCAGCCGCAAGAUCCUUCCCCGCAGUUUUCCCCAAUUCCUGGGAAGACUUCGUAAUAUCCAGAAUGUCAUCAACCACCUGAAACAACAAUCCUAUAUACCUCGCAAACUUCCUCAAUUUCUCAAUCUCCUCGUCGGUUCCACCGCCCAGGAUGGCGCCAAGGACCACCGCGCCUUCCAGCAGGGCCGCCGUCUUGUGGAGAUGGAUGAACUCCAAGCGUUCGAGGCCAACGUCGUCAAGCCCCUCGGAUUUGAUGUCGACCACCUGGCCGGCGACGAGUCCCUCGGCGCCGAUGGCUCGUGCGAGCUCCCCGAGGGCGCGGACGAUGCGAGGCGGGGAGGCACCGACGGUGGCCCCGGCGAUGUGCUCGAAGGCAAAUGCGAGGAGCGCGUCGCCGGCGAGGACAGCGACGUCCUCCCCGAAGACCUUGUGGUUGGUAGGUUUACCGCGGCGGAGGUCGUCGUUGUCCAUGCAGGGGAGGUCAUCGUGGAUGAGGGACAUGGUGUGGAUCAUCUCGACGGCGCAGGCAGCGGGCAUCGCGGUGGCGGCGGCUCCUCCGACGAGCUCGCAGGCGGCGACGCAGAGGACGGGGCGUACGCGCUUGCCACCGGCGAGGAGGGAGUAGCGCAUGGCCUCGUGGAUCCGCAGCGGCUCGCGGAGGGGAACGGCGUCAUCAAGCGCCUGAUUGACGGCGUCGGCUUUCUGGACCAUGUAGGACUUGAAGUUAAACGCCGGCUUCUCUUGGGUCUCAACAGUGUCCUCUUUGGUGAGGAGUGCGGAGAGAGUGAAAGGCGAGGAGGAAUAAAGCUUAUCUCUUUGGCGUUUGGUGACGAUGAAGGAAGGAAUGGGGGAGUUAGUGAGGCCGUGAAAUAGAAAAGUUGGGGAUCUGGAUCUGGUGAAGCUGGGGUGUAGCCAUGCGUUAAAAUUAACGGCACUCAUGGUGGGGGUUCUGAGAAUCUGUUUGGUUAGAUUGAAAGGUUUGGGCUUUGGUGAGAACUAUAAGAGUUUAUGCAUUGCAUUAGGGUGGCGAAGGAAAAAUAAUACAAGGGGUGCUGAAUGGUGAAUGGCGAGUAGUGAGUAGUGAGUGGAUAAGCAAAGCCUUCCUUCCACUUGCACCAAUUACUCAAUUACUUUGGAUUGGUUUAUUCAACUACAACAGCAGAUAGCAUAAACUAUCAUCUAUCUAUCUAUCUAUUUCACUCCCUUUAUCUCUGUCACCUCCUUUCACUGCCUCGUGUCAAUUCCAUCCACUUUUUCUCCAUUUCUUUUAAACCAAUUUAUUUCCUUUUAUUUCACGUCUGAUUCCACUUAUCCUACCUAUACUUGCAACAAACCACACCAAAGGGUUCUUUUCAAAUACCACUUCAUUAAAUAUCCCUAUAAUUCCUCAUUCAUCACCACCUAUAAAAUGCUUUCUAUUAUUAAUUAUGAAAACUUCCACUUUUAAUUAUAAACCAAAAUAAUUAAAUAAUAUGCUAUCUUUCUAUUUAUUUUCUUUUAAGUGAAACUAGAUAGCUACUUAUUUAAGGGCCAUAUAGAAAUUCGACUGUAAAUCUGAAUGGUGAAGCAUUUUCUUAACACUCUUAUGUUGACAUGAAUCACAAAUAAUUUCGUGCACUUGUCCACAAGUUGAAACAUUGUUUUCAUCCUAUCCACCACAGGCAGUCCCUUUGUCAAUGACAUUUGCUACAAAAAGAGACAGUGCUUAUUCAUCUUUUUGCGCCCAUUCAUUAUGAACUUCUCCAAAAACAUUUAUAUUGAAACACAUCCAAACACACAAAUUGAUAUGUAUCCCAAAGUAACAUGUCAUGAAACAAAAAUCAAGUAAAAAAAACUCACCCCAACUCUAUAAACUACUAGCUUCUCCAAUUAUAAUUUUCUAAAAUAAUUAUUUAAAAUUACUUUAUGUGAUAAUAUAUAUAUAUAUAUAUAUAUAUAUAUAUAUAUAUUAUUUCGGUUGCGAGGUCGAGUUAUCACCGACAUCUCCAUAAUUUGUCUUCUAGACCGUUUGGUUCCAUCUCCUGAUGUCUUCCUCUUCUUCGAAUAUCGUCCGAUCAAGUACCUUUCAAAGAUUUUCAGUUGUUCAAGUAAGUGUCCAGUCAACACAGUAAAUAUAGGACAAUAAUAAAUAUGUAGUAAAUAUGAAUCAUCUACCUCAUACAUUUAAUUUGUAUUUAUAGUUUUUAUUAUGAGCUUAUGAUUAGUGAAAUCUUAAUCACAACCCAAUCUCGAUCCAAUGAUUCUAGUCACGUCUUACCUUAAUUUCGUCUUAAACCAAAGGUUACAACUGACCGUCCGCUAUGAAUCGUUCGGUAAUGCUUUUUUCUGUCCAAAAUAUAUAUAUAUAUAUAUAUAUAUAUAUAUAUAUAUAUAUAUAUAUAUAUAUAUAUAUAUAUAUAUAUAUAUAUAAUUUAAAAAAUUGGGACCAUGAAACAUAGUGUUCGGCUCAAAUCAACCGACCUAACAUUUUCUUCAUUUGUUUUCAAUAUCGAAAGAUGUUGAUAUUCACCUAAGUAUAUUCAUUAGGCUUGAAGGUUUCCAAUAUAAUGUGGUCAUAACAAAAGGUAUAAAAAACAAAUACUAAAAACAUUACAGCAACUUAAGCAUGAAUGAAAACAACAUUAAAUUAAGAGAAUGUUAUUUCUCUCGUACCUUGUGCCUAAGCUUUAAAGAAAAAGGGUGUUGAAACUUUCUUCUCAGAAGAAAUAUAACCUUAAAAGCUUUGAGAAAAUAACCUCCCAAAAGCUUCUAGAACUCAAAGAACAUCUAAGCUUAUCAAUUAUUCUUUUAAAGAUUCUCAUAUAAUAUGAAUGUUUUUGGUGGAGAUGAUUAUUUACGUUGUGUUCGCUUAAGAUGAUGUACUAUUCAUGAGAAAAUCCUAGUAUGGAUUUGCAAGAUGCAACAUGUUCAUUUGAGUAGAUUUUUGAAGAUGAAUUUAAGCGGAUUUGUGAUAUAUCCACUUUUUUUUGGUCAUCCGCUAAUAGGUUCAAGUUUGGAGUGAUUUCAUUUGAAAUAUCAUAUUUGCUCUGCAUGCUUUGUAAAAUACCACGUUGAAGAUGAAGAAGAUGAAGAACAAAGUUUGAAGGAGUUGAAAAAGAGCUGUAUUCGGUUCUAAAAGCGCUGUAUUCGGUUCCCAUUUUCGAGUAAUCAGUUCCAGUCGAGAGAACAAAUGCAACUUAUGCUUGUAUUCGGUUUUGCAAGCUUGUAUUCGGUUCCACUAAUCACUUGUAUUUGGUUCUUGUGGUGAUUUAUUCGGUUCCACAAGCCUGCACACCUUUCAUCCAUGCGCUGAUGUGUUUCCAAGGUUGGUUGUAAAUUGUAUUGUGUAGCCAACACACAAUGCUUACUAUCUCUGAAUUUGCUGUUAUAUUAUGAUAUUAGAGCAUCUUUGCCUGAGGUACAAAAAGCAUGCUGCUUGUGUCUUAUAAAUUAUCAUCUAUUACCUUAGGAACCUUCCUUACUACUUAUUCAUAAGGGUAUUAGAAGUAACUUCCUGUGUUAAGGAGUGACUACCAAGCAUCCAAAAUAUUAUGUUAGGCACUUGUUAAAUUAUAUUUUAAAAAUACUUAUUUCAAUUUACUAAAUUAUCAUUUUUUUAAUUUUAAAAAAUAAUUUUUAUUUUAUUUUUUUAUUUACAACAUUUUAUUGAUUUUUCUUUCAAUAGGUCCCUUCCGUUAAGUCUCUCUUAUCAUUAUAAAUACCUUUCACCUUUUUCUCUCUCAAGCCUAAAAAACUAUGUCUGAGUUCGAAGAAAGAGAAUGCAGUAGAAUUGAGUUCUCAGAAAUGGGGAGAUAAAUGACAUGAUUUACUGACGAGGUCUCACAAGUCAUGCACAUACUAUUCCAAGAGAAAAUCUCAAUUUACUAACGCAAGGUUUAUUCUGUGUUCAUUCAUGUAAGGCCAGAAAAUGUAAUUAGAAGUCUAUCAUUUUAUAGCUAAAUUUUGUUUGAGGAGAAUACAUGUGACGUGCUUCAUUUCAAGGUCAGUCAGUAACACCAAAUGAUAAACAAUAUAAACCUGUACUCUAGGGAUACUAUCUAUCAUUUUUUGUUUUAUUCGGUUGAUUAAAACUAUAAAAGAUUCAACUUCUAUGCACUUGUUCAACCAUUUGUUACAAGGUUGGGCAUCAACUCUUUUACUUUGUCAGCUCAUGAUAUUAAUAUGCUCAAAUACAAUUUUAAGAUGCUGCUACCUUGAAGGUUUAAGUAUCUACAUGUUAGGUAUUACUACAGAAAUGGUGCAAGGAUGCUCAUGUUUUGAACGGUGAAUUGUAGAAGUUGACCAAUAAAACUCAAAAAUCAGAACGAUAACAGAUGGCACUCGAGCAUAAAAAUGGUUAAGCAACUGCACUAUUCACAUUUGAAUGGCUAGAUACCUCUCAUUAUAUAUAGAUUGAUACACCAAAUCAUUUCAAUCAAAAUGCAGUUUCCAUUUGUCACACACACACACUCAUAUAUAUAUAUAUAUAUAUAUAUAUAUAUAUAUAUAUAUAUAUAUAUAUAUAUAUAUAUAUAUAUAUAUAUAGUUGUAACCAGUAAGUGCAUUAACCCUAUAAACCAAGAAAAUGAGUUCAAUAAAAUAUUGACUACAUAUAUAGUAGAAACCAAUCAUGUAUGUUUUCAUGGUUUGAUUUUUCCUUCUUGAUGAUCUUAUUAACCAUUUUUGUUACCAUGUUCACAUCUUUCUCCACUCGUUCGAUAGUUACAAGAUAACAUCAAAGCCUCAACUAUUUGCCACAUUAACAACUUCUCUCUUUCCAACUCAAAAAAUUAUCAUUCCCUAAUUCUAAUUCCCUAGAAUCUGUUUCAUACAUCAAACUAUGUGGGAUUAUUAUAUAUCAGGUGCUUUUUUGAAAUACACAUUUACAUCAUUUAGUUACAUUCUAGAUAAAAAAAAAAACGUAGAAAUAUUUUAGGUUGUUUCAGGUAAAAUGUGAUUAUUCAUAAAAGCCAGCGAAAUAUUUUUAAAUUAAAAAUAAUUAAAACAUACUUGUGGUCGGGAAGUUUUUCAAGAUUUUUCUAUCCGAAACUUAUAAUAUAUAAGAAUAAUGAUAUUUUAACAAUUUUUUUAAAUAACUUUUUGACAACCUUACGUAUUACUAUUUAUGAUUGUAAAAAGUUGUUAAAUAAACAUUUUUCAAUAUAUAAUUUUUGUAAGGAGAACAUAUAAAUUAUGGGUCGCUAUCAGAAACCUUUGGAAAUAUAACUUUGAGAUUGCAGUGUGUGAAAUAUGCCACAAGCUCCUGCUGCCGUGCUAUAUUGUCCUUAACUUCCCUCCUCCUCAGUUUCAUCUGCACACCCAAAACAUACUCUUUCACUAUGAUAAUUAGUUCCUUCACAUCAUCCACUUCCCUCUUUGACUCAACAACAAUCAAAGGAAUAGAAUAAAUGCUUAAGAUUUCUAUGCUUGUAAAACAUUUUAGAUGCAUAGAUAAGGGUGUGCAUGCAUUUUGAUAAAGCUUCACCAGUUUAUGCGUAAGUCCAUCAAAUUUCAUUCUAAAGUACGAUUGAUUGUUUAUGUAAAAUGUAAAAACUGAAUACAGGAAAAAUAAAGACUCAGUUAUUGUAGCACGAGAUAACAGUCUAAUAAUGAACAACAAACUUUAUUGGAUAUUUGGCAAAAGUUUCGAGCUGGAGUGUAGAUACCCAUGUGCCACACGUACACAUAUGUAUGAAUUUCGAUUGAUAAAGUAUAAACUUAAUUUUAGCAGCAUCACGUAUAACAGAUAUAAUUUUAUCAUACAUUGAAUCCUAUAAACUAUGGAGCAUGUUUCGAUUGAUAAAGUAGCUCCCCAUUUCUGAGAAGUCAAUUCUACUGCAUUCUCUUUCUUCGAGCUCAGACAUAGUCUUUUAGGCCUGAGAAAGAAAAAGGUGAAAGGUAUUUAUAAUGGUAAGAGAGAAUAGAAGAGAGAGAAAAAGGUGAGAGAGGUAGUUAUGAUGAUGUUAUAAUGGUGAGAGAGAGAGAAAUAAGAGAGAGAAGUGUCAGGAAUAGCAGAGAAGUGUCAGGAAUAGCAGUGGAGAGAGAAGAAAAAUAUCGCCACGUAAGUGUGAAGUUAACGUCGUUGCAAGCUACUUAACAGAAGGGACCUAUUGAAAGCAAAAUCAAUAAACUGGGGACCUAAUUAAAUCACUUUUAAAAGCGGGUAUCAAACAGAAAUUCAGCCCCCAACUUAGGGACUAAAAAGGUAAUUAAGCCUUUUUUUUUUUUUUACAUUUCUUAUUCACAGUCACAAAAUUUCUUAUUCACAGUCUCAAAAUUGGCAAUUUUUACAUAUUUGAUCAAUAAGUCUAAUUCAAUGUUUUUUAUGUAUGCAACAUGAAAAUGUAUGAUAUUAAUAUCAAAACCUUAGUCCAUUCUUCCAACUCCAAGCAUAGGUCAAGAUUCUUCCACCUUCAAGUAACUCUCUAAUUUGAUCAAACGGUGUAAGCGUGAAGAGAAG
RNAcentral lists this long non-coding RNA (72549 nucleotides) under Vigna radiata. Its description in RNAcentral is "long non-coding RNA (VRAD_LNC005815)". Lineage: Eukaryota; Viridiplantae; Streptophyta; Magnoliopsida; Fabales; Fabaceae. The record is from RNAcentral.